This 73397-nucleotide long non-coding RNA is filed under the name Vitis vinifera (wine grape). RNAcentral describes it as "long non-coding RNA (VVIN_LNC005674)". Lineage: Eukaryota; Viridiplantae; Streptophyta; Magnoliopsida; Vitales; Vitaceae. The record is from RNAcentral.
UUUUUUUUGAUAAAUAAAUAAUUAAAUUAAAGAAAAAGAGCUGCCAAAAGAAUGGCCCAAGGUGUACAAGAAAAUAAACCUCCCUUCGCCACCAAGGCUCAACCAAAAGAGUACAAAAAGAACCUCAACAAUCUCAACAAGUACCCAACCAUUCAAAAAAAACCUACUAAAGCUACAAACAACUUAGAUUCAGGCCACAAAAAACAAAUUCCCUUUUCAGCUUUUGAAUAGAAAAAACAUCAUUACAAAAAGCAAUGUUGUUCCUGGCCUUCUACACCAUCCAAAACAAACACAAAUGGCUUGCUUUUCCAAACCUUUUUUCUCUUUUUGCCUACAAAAGAACCAUGCCAAUCCAGCAAAGUAUCUUUAACUGAUGAAGAAAGCACCCAAGACACCCCAAAAAGUACAAAAAUCAGCCCCUAAACAAUUUAAUUGUUGGUUUUCUAAUAUCCUCAAAGACCCUGCAUUUCUUUUUUACCAAAUACCACAUAAGGCUUCCAAAAUAACCCUCCCCACAAAGCCCUCCUUCUGGGGCUUCUACCAAACCCCUGAAAAGAAAUGACCAUGUUUGGAGCCUGUAUUAGGUACUAAACUAUUCUCACAAAGGAUGCCCAAGAGUUUCUAAAUUAAUUAGUAGCUAAUUAUAGGAGUCCAAUCAUGUAGGUAAUAACAGUGCAAUUGGAUUAAGAUUGGGCAAGAGGCACCUAAGCAUAUUCUAACUGCAGAAAAUUCAAGCAGGGCAGGACCACAUGGAGUCAACCCUAAUACAUCUGUGAUCAUGUUCAUCUCAGGCUUGCCUGAGAACAACUUGGGCAAUAACCCAUUUAUUUUGGGCUUUGCAGGUCUUCGCCAGAUAUUGUCUACACUAUGUGCAACCUGCAUUCAGAAGCAUCUACAGUUUAAACUACCAGUAACCCAAAUAAUGUCUUUGUAACCAAAAAUAAAACAAAACAAAGAAUUUAAACUCAAUCUAAAACAUUACAGGAAAAAUUGAACAUAGAAACUAGAUCAAUUCUGACUUAUUACAUAUCCUACCUCAUUGCAUUACCUCAAGAACAAAAUACUCAGGAAAGUCAUGAAAGUCAUUUGGCCUGGCAAGGAAAGAACAGCAUAUAACUGAAUCUUGUAAAUACUACUUUACAAUAAACUCACAGAAUUCAAAUUAUUAGAAGCUGGGAAACUCACUUGGGGAGUCCAAUGUUUGCAUCGAAUCUCCGACUUUUAUAAAAUUUAACCAGAUGUAGUAAACCAGCCCAAUCAGUUUCCUGCCAAACAAUGCCAUCACGACCCACACAUCAAGAUCGAGGACUAGUACAAAUCCCAGAAGUAAACAACAGAUAAAGCAUUUUGAACCAAGCAACCAUACAAAGUAAACGAAACUGAAGAUGUUUUUGUAUUUAUUUUUUCCUCCUUUUUGGUGGAAGGUAGCAUGACAAUGCAUUAAUUAUCAUUUUGAAUUUCAUAAAAGAGAUGAACAAACAAAUAUUAUGGAUCAAAAUACGUACAGAUGUGUGUGUGUGUGUGUGAGAGAGAGAGAGAGAGAGCACCCUAACAUCUACAAAUUACUCUUCCAUGUUCCAGUCAAUGAGUUCAUUAGCGCAUAAGGAAAAUACUGUAAGUUCAAAAAGUAAAAUGUGUGAUCAACUUAAUGAAAAGGUGAGCGAUUAUAAUACCUCGGAUGCUGUAUUAGCCAAUGCAAAUGCUGCCUCAAUUCGGACUCUCCAAAAGGCCUUGAAAACAUAGAAGAAAUUUUAAAAUUGCAUUUCACUAAACACCAAUGCAUGGAAAGAAAUUGAACCUCUGAAAGUAUUAAAACCUUCGAAUCGCUGAGGAAAUUAUUCAGAGCAUUAACAACAGAAAAUGAAAGCUGAGGUAAUGCCUCCAGUGUUGCAAUUGCUUGUGCCUGAGCAACAACAUCCUUGUCCCUCUCUAAUUGAUUAAUCUGAUUAAGAAUUCCAAUUUUAUCAACAUCAUUAACAAAACUUUCAAAUUUGAUAGAAUGAAGUGAUUUAUAUAAAACAAUAGAUUCAACAGAAUCCAAUAUAAUGGCACAGUAUGAAUUAAAAAAACAUAUAAAAGGAAUUGGUGCAAAUCCUACAUUUUAGCAAGCAUCAUAUAUUAUUGCGAGUGCAACAAUCAAAUAUACCCUGAAUCCCUAAACAUUAUAAUACAUCAAUCCAUGUUAAAGGUACCUGAAGCAUCUAUGGUAUAUGCCAGAAUAUAGAAAUAGAACUGGUUAAUAUUAAUAAAAUAUAAAACUGGUUAAUAUUAAUAAAAUAUAAAAUAAAGAAUCCAAAGGACUUCCAUUUUUAACUGUCUAUUUUUGCCAUGCUUCAUUUAUAAAUAUAAUAAAACACAUCUCAAAGUUUCAGAGCUUUAAGAAACCUUUUAUCUCUUUUGUAUUAUUUGCUCAAGUUUGAAAAAAGAAUACACCUAUUUAAAUUUUAAAAUUCGAAUGAGACAAGUAGUUAAUGAAAUCUGCUAUAGUCAAUCUAAUUUUAAUCAGUAGAGGCUGGGCCAAGGCUCAUCCAAUGGCAGAACACAAAAGUAGUUAAUGAACUCUGCUAUAGGUAAUCUAAUUUUAACCUGUAAAGGCUGGGCCAAGGCUCAUCCAAUGGCCGAACACAAAAGUAGUUAAUGAAAUCUGCUAUAGGUAAUCUAAUUUUAAUCUGUACAGGGUGGGUCAAGGCUCAUCCAAUGGCAGAACACAACUUACCUCAGACAGCUAGGAGAUGAAAGAUGACUACCAGUAGAACAAGCAGGUUUUUGUUCUAACAUCCUCUGAGACAAAAAUCUUUCCUAACAAACACAUUCUCAAUUUUGUGUAUGAUAUUACAUAUUUUAUUUAUAUUGAUUGAAUAGAUGAUUGAACAGAACCCAUAUCUUUUUCUACUUUUUUCAUUAUUUAUUUCUGAAUCCACACUUUCUUAUCUAUGUACAUUAUCUCUAUGGGCCAAUCAACUUAAUCCAACUCAAUUUUUUUUUUCCCUCUUUUUUAUUUAUAUUUUUAUAAUUCAUUAAUGAACUAAUUGAAUUUUUUUAUUUUCUGCCAUAGUAUUUUUUUAAUCAAAAUUCACAUUCAUAUUGACAGCAAAUACAUUUUUUAUAGGUAAAGAUCAUUACAUAAAAGAAAUGCCAAAGAAGGCAGCCCAACCCCAAGUACACCAGAAGUAUAAUUUCAUUGUAGAUAAAAGGAUCUAUUUAUCUUUGUUGCAUAGGUUUGCAUUUUUUACUUCACCUUCAGAUGAUGGUUUUCUUGCAAUUGGAUUUACUAUGCUACAGGCAGUUUCUUUCAUAAGUUCUCAACCCCUUGGUUUCACCAUAAUAGAAUAUGUAAGUGGAGAACAGAAAUUCUUGAUGAAGUUACCAAUAGUAGUGAAUGCAGGGUCAAAAAAAUAUUCAGUGUAGUCCAUACUAUUGAAGUGGAGAGGGAUCAUUAGCAUAUAAACUUUGGUAGGUAUGACAUUUUAGCCCUUGAGGCUUGCCUCUGGCAAGGGGUUGGGAUGGGAUGAGUUAGGUUCUCAACUGCAGUUGGAAAAAUGUACCAUUAAACAUUGCAACCUGCUGCAUAAAGUUAGAACUAAACAAACGUUGUCCAAAUUAUGACUUUUAAGUGCUAGUGCUAUCUGUUAAAAUAGCAAAACCUGACAAUAUCAUCACAAAAAUAAAUACAAAGGAGUAAUAUAUAACACAGAAAAAAAUUAUAAUGAAAUUGAAAAAUGAAUAACAUGCAUUUCCAUGAAACCACAAUAGUUCCCAACUAAAUUCAUUCUUACCCACAUCUGUGCAGGUUGAUUAAAAUGAAUUUCAGCAAGAUACUCCAGUUCAGGGUCUACCCUAAGCCAUAACAAAGGGGAUUCGGUGCUGCAAAAGGAACAUAUUAACACUCAGAAAAAUUGACCGUGUUAUCUUUCAACUAGAAAAUGUGACAAAAGCCCAAAGAGGUAAUGACAUACUUGGAGCGCAUAUCCACAGCAGGUACAUCACCAUUAUCAUCGGAGCCAUCAGGUUUUGACCCCUUUUUAGGCUUCUGGAAGCGUCUAGCAGCAAGUUUUGAAUGGCACUGAAUUUCAAGAAGUUGCCAAGUUUCUCCAGCCAUUGGCAAAAUUGGAUGGUCAUACAUACCAUCAAGCUCAUGAACCCUGAUGCUCAUCAUUCCUGGCCAUCCAAUAUCAACUUCUCGAUUUUCAGAAUCAAUAUUGCCAUUAAGAACCAUUGUAUUUGUAUCUGGUGCGGCAGUGCAUCCCCGUAAUACCGCCAGUUCAACCAAAUUUUUUCGCUUGUUAUAGGAUAAACCCGCCCUUAAAAAUUUAAGGCCCAAAAAGGACAACAUUUGAAUAGACUAUAUCAGCAAAUAUUCCCCCAUGAAGAAAAAGAAAAGACAAUUUCUAGGUCACAUAAAUCAGACCUUAGUACAGGACACCCACAAGAUCCUACCCAGCGAGGAAAAAAUUCUUUAAGAAAUGGGCGCUCAAGAUUUCCAACCUUAUUGGCAAAAUGUCGGAACUGCACAUUUAUAGGAUUAAUUAAGGUAAAUAAGUAAAUAAAAUAAACAUAUUCUUCUAACACAAUAAUAAAAUCAUGAUGUAUUCAAAUUACACCAAAAAAGGAAUCCUAGUGAUCAUGGAAUUCAUAACAAUGAUAUAUUAACAUGAACACAGAUAAUACUAUACCAAAUGAAAUUGUUAGAGCACAAUACAUUAUGAGCCCAAAUCCUAACAACUUAAGCCCUUACGUAAAUUGGUUCUCUAAUAUGGUGUCAAAACUCUUAUUAACUAGAGGUUCUGAAUUCAAGUCCUCCCUUUGUUAUUUAUCUGUCUAACUAUGUGUGAUUACAAAAGGAAAAUAUGAUUUUUCUCAAGCCAAUACCAUCUAUAACUCCCACAACGAGUAUAAGGCUGCACAUGAGGGGGUUGUAAGAACAUAAUAUAUUUCGUGGACCCAAAUCCGAACAGUUUUAAGCUCUUAGGUAAAUUGGUUGUACAACAGAAAUCAUGACUGCCAGGGGUUGGGAUAAGAGCUAGGAAUAUGAGUAAAUGAAGAACAAAGGAGGCUGGACAAUAGCACAGGGUAGGUUCCACAAAUAUAAGCACCUAACAACAAAAAGGGGCACAACCCAUAGACACAUGAUAUAUGCAAGAAUGCAGAGUUUUCUAAUUUGUUUGUUAUAGCCCAUAUAUUAGGAUGCAGCUAACAACGAUUAAAUGAAAUGGACCAAAAGACAGAAUUUUCAACCCUCUUCAUGAUAGUAAACAAAAAGAAAUGACAGGAAGCAGCAAUAAGUACUUGCAUUUCUUUUCUCUCUCUUUUUUAUUUAGGUGCCUUUUUUCUUUUCUUUAUUUUUCCGCUUGUUUGAUGGAAAAAUAAGACUUUACAGAAGGAAAGCUCGAAAAGACGGUUCCUCAAAAUGCAGAAGAAAACAGAAAAGAGAUGUACUUAAAAAUAAGAAAAAUUAAAAAAUUAAAACACACAUACACACAUGCACCUAUUUCCUAAAAAAUGAGCCCAGGAAAAUAAAACAUAAACAAAAGAGGAGGGAAGGAGUUUGUAACAUACUUCUCUAGGGUUAGUGCUUCUCUCUUAGAAAAAGCAUUGGCUUCUGAUGUUGCAACUCCUGGACUACAAUGCACUGAACGCUUUUCACCUUCCAUUAGAAAGCAUCCAUAGAGGUGGAAAGCUGGAAGGAAGCUUCAAAAGUUCCCUGCUGAACCUUAGAGUGCUAUGAUUGGGGUUUGUCCCUAUUAAAGGUGUUGCCACAGAUAAUCAAAGGAGAAAUCCUUUGAAGAGAGCCCAGUUAACCACUCUAAUCAUUGGCGUUCCACAUCCUCACAGGACUAUGACAAAGAACCGGAAAAUCGAGUGUGGAAUUAGAUCUUGGGUAGGGAUACUUCCUAUCCAAGGCCAGGUCUUUCAUUGCCCUCGUACCAUUCUGUGGGUAAUUCUUGAACAGUAUACUAGUAUUCUUAUUCUCUUGACUUGAUAAGCGAAUAAUCAAAUGAAAGAUUCUAGAUCAGGCAGACUGGCCCUGGAAAGAAAGCCUUCACAUUCCAUCAACAAAGAAGAAUAUAGUUCCAAGGUCAACAAAGCAUAGCAUAGAGGCCAACCUUUAUUGAAGCAUAGGUAAUAGAACUUCCUCUCCACCUGAAGAAAUAUCUAAAUCACAUCAUAUUAAGUCGACUGACUCUUGAUUGAUUAACUAUUUAGUAGCUUCGCCUGUGUACCUUCCAUAUCUAACUAAGCCCAAGGAAGGUGGCAUCACUAAUGAUCCCUCAAUACUCCAACCACAGAUAGUUGUAGUUGUCAGACGGAGAAACUUUCAAAUCUAAGUUGCUUAUAUAGAGAACAAUAUGGUAAGGACGUUGAAGGUCUUUGUGGAGAGGAAGACCUUCUUGGUUAGGUUGGAAGGCGAGCAUGGUGGAAAUUGGUGCUUGAUUACAGAGCACAGUAGAGGCUCUGUUUUUGUCUUAGGUUUUGAAAAGGAUGCAGUCGGGUGGAUGAUCGAACAUUUGACGAAAGCCAUAGAAAUGAAGAGUCACUUCGGGUUCAACCGAAAGUUCAGGAGAAAAUUUUGUGUGAAUUUGAUGGAAGUUGGCUUCAACAACCACGAAAGGUUCAUAAGGAUCUCGGAGUUCGCUACCAACAGAAAAUCUACUUUUCUAGUUAUUCCUAAGGACGAGAAGGGCGGAUGGGAGAAUCUAAAAAGUGCGUUGUCUUCAAUGUUGGUGGUCCCCCCUUCAAAUGCAAUUGAAAAAGGAAGACAAUACAGAGGAAAAAGGUUUAUCCACAAUCACGUGGGUCCUCUGUACCGGUCCUUCGCGAAUGUAGUUAGCGAUGAAGGACCAAGGAGAGGUGGUCUCGUUCCUGUCGGGAGGUGGGCGCGAGCCGUGGUGUGUGAAUGCAAUGCUGAUAGCGUUAAAUGGGUUGAGGUUGGCCGAGCGGUGGCGAGAAGCUUAGGGAAGAAAGGAAUGGCAACGAUUGUACCCAUCUCAGGAGGAAAAAAAGUAUUUUUUGUUGAAACAAUAGAAAAAGUUCUCUUUCUCCAGGAUUUAAGGAUUCUUAGGGUUGAAGGAAGGAUUACAGUCCAAUUGAGAAGGUGGUCACCAAAGGAAAAUUCGAAAAUAGAGGGGAAGUUCAGAGGAGGCUAGAUCGAAUUACGAGAGUUGCCAUUUCAUCUAUGGUCUAAGGUUCACCUGAAGAAAAUUGUGGAGCAGUGGGGGAUGGUGACUAAAAUUGAUUGGCAAACGUUGAAACUAUUCGAUCUUAGUAAGGCAAGGGUAAGAAUUGCAAUGAAGGAUAGGUCAGUCCUUCUAGCUUUGAUCGAGGUGAUAGACGGGAAUUGGGUGUUUACAAUUUCUGUCGUAGUGCUCGGAGAUGAAGACGUUAAGAGAGGUAGAGUAAUGGGUGAGUCAACUCGGGAGGUUUGUGCAUCUCACUUGGGGACAGGUGGAGGAAGGCGGGGGGAGAGAGUCAGAUCAAUGACUGGGGGAAGAUGCCAUGUUGGGGAAGAUGGCAGAAUGAAGAAGGGAGGAGAAAGGGGUAUGGUUGUUGUUUUUCCAGUGGGGACACGUGGUAAGAGUGGUCAAGAUGAGGGGAACAGUUGGCUCCUAACCCCAUCGUUGCCCAGUUUGAAUUAAAAAAAAAAUGAACAAUGGGCCAAUUGGGUUUAAGGAGACGGGAGGAGUUAGGGUCAGUGGGGACGAGGUCUCCUCUGAUGAGGGAUGUCGGGCCACUGAGAGGAAGGCCCAGUCUUUGUCUAAGCCUAGUCCACUAAUUGUAAAAGUGGGCUGCAACAUAAAAGGCCCGUCGGGGUUGGGCCAAAGCAUAGGAGGUAAGAAGAUAGAUGACAAGAAGGUUUCGUUACGAAGGGAAGAAGAUUCUUCUGCAGUGGGAAAGGGGAAAGCUACAUCUAUAGUUCCUAAGGUUCAGUCGAAUAGCUCCAUGAAGAAGGAAGUGAAGUUUGGUUCAAAGAAGCUGUGGCCUACCCUUUUUCCUCUAAGUUCUGAUCGCUAACAAGGUCUUCGGUGUCGCAGUGAGCCUCUAUUGUACCGGAAGAAUUCGGCAAACAACAAAGAGUUUCCAAAAGAAGAGGCUUUCGGGGACGAAUCUCAGGCGGAACGAGGAUUUAGUGCAAGUCCUCUCACUUCUCGUCGAUCACCAAGGUUUCAUAAGAGAUGUUUGGGGGAAGGGGCUUCGUCGUCAAGAGGCGAAGUGGCUUUGUGCAAACUUUCCUUUGAUGAAGACAGAGAAGGAUUUUUGGGCUGAUGGGGUCCGACCUUUGUGGCUCAACAGUCACAGUUUUGCCCUUUACACUAGAAAUCAGAGGUAAAGGGCUUAGCUUUAUGGGGAAUUGUGGAUUGUUGGUAGCAGAAAACUUGGGAGGUAAACUCGUCUUCACCUACUCAGCCACCUUUGUCUUCUCUACCCCCUUCUUGUGGUUUGGCUUCUUCUUUUCUGUGUUCUUUUGUUCCCAAUCUUCCCAGUUCAGCCUUCCAAUCUCAGUUUCCUAUGGAAAAUCGAGUAAACUUUGAAUUUUUUUCCAAAAAAGACGACGUUGGUACUGUAGGUCAAAUUUUGUUGGCAUCCCUAAACUUGUUGUGGAGGAGAUUCAACCUGCUUAUCUAUACCAGAUGAUCGAGAGUUUUAACCCAAUUAUGUCUAAACCCAUUUUGCCUAAUAAGGUCUUCAACCUGGUUACAGUUAGCCAAGGUGUGACUACGGGCUCCCCAUCAGAUGAGUUCCAAAUAGAAGGCCUGUCCCCUGAGAAAAUCGCUAAAGUGCGUGAGGUCUUAAGUUCUCUGGAUAUUAAAGUAUAUUUCAGGAGGAAGAGUAGAUGCUCCACAAGUAUGUGAGACCUAUUGGAACUGGAUUGGAGGAUUAGGGUCUGUGUGGUUUUUCCAUGAAGAUAAUUAGUAGGAAUACCAAGGGUUUGGGUUCAAGGAAAAAGCGAAGGGUGGGUUAAGAUUUUCUGAGAUCAAAAAAUCUGGAUGUUGUGAUGAUUUAGGAAACAAAAAAGGCGGAGUGUGACAGAAGGUUUGUAGGUAGUGUUUGGACAGUCAGAAAUAAGGAAUGGGCAGCUCUUCCGGCAUGCGGGGCUUCGGGAGGGAUUUUGAUUAUUUGGGACUCCAAAAAACUACGCAGUGAGGAAGUGGUAAUAGGAUCCUUUUCGAUCUCAGUCAAGUUUGCUUUGGAUGGAUGCGGACCGUUAUGAUUGUCCGUAGUUUAUGGCCCAAACAGCCUAGUACUUGGGAAGGAUUUUUGGGUGGAGCUUUCAGACAUUUUUGGACUUUCUUUCCCAUGUUGGUGUGUGGGCGGCGAUUUUAAUGUCAUAAGGAGAAGUUCAGAAAAAUUAGGAAGUUCUAGUUUAACCCCAAGCAUGAGGGACUUUGAUGAUUUUAUAAGAGAAUAUGAAUGACUAGAUCCACCUUUACGGAGCACACCAUUCACUUGGUCAAACAUGCAAGAGUCUCCCGUGUGCAAGAGAUUGGAUCGAUUUCUUUACUCAAAUGAGUGGGAACAAUUAUUUCCUCAAAACCUUCAAGAAGUUCUUCCUAGAUGGACAUCGGAUCAUUGGUCGAUAGUCUUGGAAACCAAUCUAUUCAAGUGGGGCCCAACACCUUUUAAGUUUGAGAAUAUAUGGUUGCAACAUCCUAAUUUUAAGGAGAGCUUUAGAAGUUGAUGGAGAGAUUUUCAAGGAAAUGGGUGGGAAUGUCACAAGUUCAUGAGGAAAUUACAAUUUAUUAAGGCCAAAUUGAAAUAGUGGAAUAAGGCUUCUUUUGGAGAGCUAAACGAAAGGAAAAAAAGUAUCCUGUUCGAAUUAGCUAACUUUGAUUCCAUUGAGCAAGAAGGGGGUCUCACCUCUGAACUUUUAAUUUAGAGAGCUUUAAGAAAAUGAGAGUUAGAGGAAUUGAUUUUGAGGGAAGAAAUUCAUUGGAGACAAAAAGUUAGGGUGAAAUGGGUUAAGGAAAGGGAUUGUAACUCAAAAGUUUUUUCAUAAAGUGGCUAAUGGCGGGCGAAAUAAGAAAAAAAAAAGGUGUUGGAGAAUGAAAGAGGCCUAGUAUUGAAUAAUUCAGAGAGCAUCAAAGAGAAGAUUUUAAUGUAUUUUGAAAAGCUCUACUCGAGCCCUUCUAGAGAGUCUUGGAGAGUUGAAGGCUUAGAUUGGUCCCCUAUAUUUGGAGAAAGUGCGUCUAGGUUGGACUCCCCUUUUACUGAAGAAGAUAUUUUUAAGGCCAGUUGAAUAGGGAUAAGGCAUCGGGGCCUGAUGGUUUUACAAUUGCAGUGUUUCAAGAUUGUUGGGAUGUGAUCAAGGAGGAUCUAGUGAGAAUGUUUGCAAAGUUUCAUAGAAGCGGGAUUAUCAAUCAAAGCACUAAUGCCUCCUUCAUAGUUCUGUUACCCAAAAAAAGCAUGUAAAAAAAAAUCUCAGACUUUAGACCUAUUAGCUUGAUCACUAGUCUUUACAAGAUAAUAGUCAAAGUGUUAUCAGGGCGUCUAAGAGGGGUAUUACACGGAACUAUCCAUUCUACUCAAGGCGCUUUUGUUCAAAGGAGACAAAUUUUGGAUGCAGUUGUCAUAGCCAAUGAGAUAGUGGAUGAGAAAAGACAAUCAGGAGAGGAAGGAGUUGUCUUCAAAAUUGACUUUGAAAAGGCUUACAACCAUGUGAGUUAGGAUUUUUUGGAUCAUGUGUUGGAGAAGAAGGGGUUCAGUCCUAGAUUGAGGAAAUGGAUAAGAGGUUGUUUGUCCACGGUAUCUUUUGCAGUCUUAGUGAAUGGAAACGCUAAAGGGUGGGUCAAGGCAUCUAGAGGUUUAAGACAAUGAGACCCUUUAUCCCCUUUUUUGUUCACUUUAGUCGCAGAUGUACUGAGCAGGAUGUUAUUGAGAGCAGAAGAAAGAAAUGGCUUGGAGGGUUUCAGGGUGGGUAGGAACAGAACAAGGGUGUCCCAUUUGCAAUUUGCAGAUGAUACCAUUUUCUUUUCUAGCACUCGAGAGAAGGAUCUGCAGACCCUCAAGAGUGUAUUGCUAGUGUUUGGGCAUAUUUCUGGGUUGAAGGUUAACCUUGACAAAAGCAAUAUUUAUGGCAUUAAUCAUGAACAGAAUCAUCUUUCUAGGUUGGCCUAGCCGCUAGAUUGCAAGGCUUCUGUUUGGCCUAUACUCUACCUGGGUCUUCCUCUAGGAAGGAAUCCCAAGGCUUGUGGCUUUUGGGAUCCAGUGUUUGAGAGGAUCUCGAGAAGAUUAGAUGGGUGGCAAAAGGCGUAUUUAUCUUUUGGAGGCAGGAUAACUCUCAUUCAAUCUUGCCUUACCCAUAUGCCUUGCUACUUCCUCUCCUUGUUUAAGAUUCCCGCCUCAGUGGCAGCAAAAAUUGAGAGAUUACAAAGAGAUUUUUUAUGGUCGAGGGUUGGGGAAGGCAAAAAAGAUCAUCUUGUUAGUUGGGAUGUAGUGUGUAAUCUGAAGGCAAAAGAGGGAUUGGGAUUUAGGAAGAUUUCUAUAAGGAAUUUAGCUCUAUUAGGUAAAUGGUUGUGGAGGUACCCUAGAGAGGGGUUAGCUCUGUGGCAUCAGGUUAUUUUAAACAUUUAUGGAUCACACUCCAAUGGUUGAGAUGGCAACACUAUAGUCAGAUGGUCACAUCGUUGUCCUUGGAAGGCUAUUGCACAAGUCUCCCAGGAGUUUUACAAGUUUACUCGGUUUGUGGUAGGAGAUGGGAAAGAAUUCGGUUCUGGGAAGACUAGUGGUGGAGGGACCAGCCUUUGGGAGUCCAAUAUCCAAGACUAUUUAGAGUAGUCACGGAUAAGUAUAUUCCUAUUUCUUCAAUUCUCGGCUCUACUUGUCCCUUCUCUUGGAAAUUUAACUUUCGUCGUAACCUUUCCGAUUCUGAGAUAGGAGAUUUAGUUAGAAGGUCUCAUGCGGUCUCUUGAUCGUCUGCAUUUAUCUCCUUCGGUUUCAGAUAUGAGAUCCUGGUCCUUAUCUUCUUCAGGACUUUUUACAGUCAAAUCUUUCUUUCUUGCCUUAUCCCAAUUUUCUGGUUUUCCUUCAGUUUUCUCUUCUAAGUUUGUUUGGAAUUCUCAAGCCCUUUUCAAAGUCAAGUCUUUUGUCUGGUUAGUGGCACACAAGAAGGUAAAUACUAAUGACUUGCUACAGUCGAGAAGACCCUACAAAGCGUUUAGUCCUGAUAUUUGUAAGUUGUGCAUGAAGCAUGGAGAAUCAGUAGAUCAUCUUUUUCUACAUUGCUCUUUGACGAUGGGGUUAUGGCACAGAUUAUUUCAGUUAGCCAAGACGGAUUGGGUCCCCCUGAGGAGCAUCUCCGACAUGUUGUCCACCAAUUUUAACGGUUUUGGUUUUUCUAAGAGAGGGAUUGUUUUAUGGCAAGCUGUGUACAUCGCUCUAAUUUGGGUUGUGUGGCGGGAAAGAAAUGCAAGGAUUUUUUAGGAUAAAGUAAGGAAUUCAGAGAAUCUUUGGGAUUCUAUUCAUUUCCUUGCUUCUCUUUGGGCUUUUUGUUCCAAGGUUUUUAAGGGGACUCCCCUUAACGUGUUACAACUUGAUUGGUUAGCGGUGUGUAAUUCCAUUGGGUUGGUCUAACCUAGAGAGUUUGCUUGUUUUUACUUUGUAUUUUCUUGUAUUUGCUUCCUUGUAGUUUUGUUUUUCUUUGGUGGGAGGAUUCCUCAUCCUUCUCUUGUACUUCUUUUAAUAAAUAUAUCCCUUUGUCGUUUCCUAUCAAAAAAAAAAAAAAAAGUCUAAGUUGCUUAUGAUAGGUGGCAAGGCUUCUAAUUCUGGGAAGAAGAAGACUAAGCAGGGGACACUCUAGCCAAAAAAGAUAGGGAUAAAAGGAGACUCCUCAAAAUUCCAAGUCAAUUCCAAGUAGAAAUAUAGAGCAAAUCCACUCUAUAAUAGAGCAAAUGAAUUCAUUUUUUUCCUAAACAUAUUCUACAAUUUCUCUCAUUCCAUAGAAACCAAAUAAUUGUAGACACAGUCCUUUUCAUAACCUCUAGAAACUCCAAGACCUGGGCAAAAUCUAAGGAAGGGUGGAUCUUUUGAAUCUACCCAACUAAUUCCAGAAAACAUCAAAUAUCAAAAUGUAAACCCAAAUGAUGGUGGCUGGCACUUUUAAGAAUUGAGCUAAACAAUAAUGAGAGGAAAGAGUAUCAGCAGCCCCCUAAUCUAGUAUAUCAUAAUGUUUGAAGAAGUGUCUAUAAACUCCUUAGCAACAGAUGGCCAAAAGCAACAAGUGACAAGCCCUUUAACAGUUUCAUCAUUUUGCACAUAACGCACAUGCUUGAAGAAAUGCUUUAGGCCUCUUCCAGAGACAACCAAAAGUGUUCAUGCUCAUCAAUGCAAAAAUCUAAGCUAAGCUUCAAUCUCUGUGGAAGAUAUGGAUUCCAAAAUUAACUUGUGAGGGCAAGUAGGAAUAUAAAGAAACAACCACACAAGAAUGGAAGGAAUCUUCUGUUGGGAAAAAAAAAAGGCUUGGAAGGCUGCUCUGCUAUGCAUGUUUUGGACCAUAUGAAGGGAAAGAAAUAGGAGAGGAUUCGACAAUUGUGAAAAUUUGAACCAAACAAUUAGAAGUUCUUUCUUGAAUCUUUUUUGGGAGUGGGUAAGAUUGUAUAUAGGAGCGGCUCUUUAUCAUUGUUAAGAGUUUGUGGACUGGAUGGGCUCUUUGUAGGGCACAGUUUUUGGUUUUUGUGCUCCCGCAGUUUUUUUGGUUUUUAGGUUGCUUUGUAUACAUCAUGUAUACUUCUUUUUUCUCCAAUACACUUACUCUUACUUAUCAAAAAGGAAUAUCCAUAAGAAUAUCAAGCAGUAACUUAUGUUUGUUUCUAAUAAAAUAAUGUAAAGCAGUAAACCCAUAAUCCAAAAUCCUCUCUUGUCCAGAAUGAAAAGGAGAGGUAAAUGUCCUGAGAGGAAAAAUAUGACCUAUUAAACUACCAUUACAUCAAGAUUCAUAGGAGAAUGGAAGUAAAGAAUGGAAAUGGUAGGCCCACACACCAUAACUAGGAGACCUAGUUUGUAACUCAAGACCUGAAGGGACAUAAUUUGAGAUAUGCAACCUGAUUGCACUAUUUCCCACAUAUCUGAUCACUCUCUGAUUCUUCUUGAUGGGGGAGGGUUGAGGAGAAGGCCCACGCCAUUUAGAUUUGAGAAUAUAUGGCUGAAGGAGGAAGGCUUUAAAGAGGUGUUGAGAAAGUGGUGGGAAGGGAUUCAACUUAGUGGGUCAGCCAGCUUCAUUUUGACUGAAAAAUUGAAGGCAUUAAAACCAAUUCUGAGAAGUUGGAAUAAAGAGGUUUUUGGUCAAAUUGAUUCUAAGAAGCAAAGUGCUUGGAAUUUAAUGGAUUUCUGAGAUAAGGAAGAGAGUGUUCGCUCUUUGUCUUUGGAAAAAGAAGAAGCUAGGAAGGAGGUAAGAGAGAUAUAUAAAAAGUGGGUUCUUUUAGAAGAAGUGUCAUGGAGGCAGAAGUCUAGGUAAAUUUUGCUGAAAGAAGGGGAUAGAAACACAAGGUUUUUUCAUCAAAUGGCUAAUGUUCAUAGAAGAAGGAAUCAGAUGACUAGAGUAAAAGGGAAUGGGAGGUAGUUCACCGAGGAAAGUGAAAUCAAAGAGGAGGUGAGUAGAGCUUUCCAAGGUCUGUUGGCAGAUCCAGGUGAUUGGAAGCCCAGUAUAGAUGGUUUGAAUUUUGAGAGGCUGGAAGACUUGGAUGUGGAGGGGCUGGAGAAGCCUUUCUCGGAAGAGGAGGUUUAUGAUCUGCUGUCAAGUUUUUAUAGAGAAAAAGUGUCAGGCCCUGACGGUUUCUCAAUGGCAUUUUGGCAGUUUUCUUGGGAUUUUGUAAAAGAGGAGGUACUAAACUUCUUCAGAUAGUUCCAUGAGACAAGGAGUUUUGUCAGAAGUCUGAAUGCAACCUUUCUAGUGUUGAUUCCUAAGAAAGGGGGGGCUAAGGACUUGAAGGAUUUUAGGUCAAUUAGCUUGGUGAGAGGGUUGUACAAGUGGUUAGCUAAGGUGCUGGCUAACAGAAUGAAGGGAGUAUUAGCUAAGGUGAUCUCAACGUCUCAAAAUGCUUUUGUGGAGGGGCAGCAAAUUAUGGAUGCAGUGUUGAUUGCUAAUGAAGCAAUAGAAGGGCGAUUCUCUGCAAAUUAGACAUUGAGAAAGCCUAUGACACGUUGACUGGUCAUUUCUUUUAGCGGUGUUGGAGAAGAUGGAGUUUGAGAAAAGGUGGUGUAGAUGGAUAAAGUUGUGUUUAUCCACUGUUGGUUUUCAGUUAUGGUGAAUGGAAGCCCUACUGGAUUUUUCCAGAGCUCAAGGGGUUUAAGACAAGGAGACCCCCCUUUCACCUUACUUAUUCGUAGUUGUGAUGGAGGCUUUUAGUUAUAUGCUAAAGAGAGUAGUUUUAGGAGGUUUUUUGUCUCCUUGUUCGAUUUGGGGAAGAAGGGGUGAAGGGGUUUAGGUCUCUCAUUUGUUGUUUGCUAAUGACACGUUGAUUUUUUGUGAGGCAAAGGAGGAGUAGUUAGCGUAUUUGUGCUGGUUGUUAAUGUGGUUUGAGGCAAUCUCAAGGUUAAAAGCGAAUAUGGAAAAAAAUGAACUGAUUCCGGUUGGUAAAGUUGAGAAUGUGGAAGAGUUGGCUAAUGAGUUCGGUUAUAAGGUGGGAAAAUUGCCCUCCACCUAUUUAGGAAUGUCGUUGGGUGCUACUUUUAAAUCCGUUGCCGCUUGGGAUAGAAUAGAAAAAAGGUUCCGAAAGAGAUUGGCUAUGUGGAAACGUCAAUCCAUCUCAAAAGGGGGGAGGGUUACCUUAAUUCGAAGUACCUUGUCCAAUUUGCCGAUCUAUUUUAUGUCUAUUUUCCAGCUGCCUAGGGUGGUUAGAAUGAGAUUGAAGCAGAUUCAAAGGGAUUUUCUAUGGGGUGGUGGGGCUCUUAAGCAAAAACCGCACUUAGUAAGGUGGCCGAUUGUGUGUGUAAACAAAAGAAAAGGAGGGUUGGGGGUCAAGAGUCUUGGGACUUUCAAUAAGGCUCUCCUUGGCAAGUGGGCUUGGCACUUUGCAAAUGAAAGAAAGGCCCUUUGGAAUCAAGUGAUUAGAAGGAAAUACGAGGAGGAAAGAGGAGUGUGGAGAUCUUGUGAGGCUAGAGAGGCCUAUGGAGUUGGGUUGUGGAAAGCAAUAAGUAAGAUGGGACAAACUAGUAACCCCUUCUUUUGGCUUUGUGGUGGGUGAUGGUAAGAAGGUGAGGUUUUGGAAAGACAAGUGGUGUGGAACCACCCCUUUGUGCGAGGUUUUCCCUUCAUUAUUUGCUCUAGCAACUUCCAAAGAGGCGUGGGUAAAUGAAGUUUGGACAGCCGAGGGGGAAAGGGGGGGAAGUCGGACUCCUCAUUUCAAUAGACCUUUCAAUGAUUGGGAGUUGGAAGAAGUGGAAAGGUUGCUUUGUUGCUUGGAUGGGAAGAAGGUCAGGGUGGAUGAGGAGGAUAGGGUGAGGUGGAUGGACUCAAAGGAUGGGGUUUUUUCGGUAAAAUCUUUGUAUAGGGCUUUGCAGCCGGUGUCUCUUACUUUUUUCCCUUUGAAGAUUAUUUGGAACUCUUGUGUGCAGCCCAAAUUAAGCUUCUUUGCGUGGGAGGCUUCGUGGGAAAGAGUUCUAACCUUGGACCGUUUGCAAAAGAGGGGUUGUGCAUUGGCAAAUAGAUGCUUUCUGUGUCAAACAAGUGAGGAGUCGAUCGACCACCUCCUCCUUCAUUGUGAAAAGACAAGGGAAGUGUGGAUGUUGUUCCUUUCUUUUUUUGGAGUAUCUUGGGUUUUCCCUUUUUCGGUAAAGGAAACCCUUUUAGGAUGGAGGGGCUCUUUUGUGGGUAAGAAGAGGAAGGUGGCGUGGCAAGUGAGACCGUUAUGCUUGGUUUGGGUCAUUUGGAACUAGGAAUACAAUUGCUUUUGAGGAUUGUGUGCUGUCCAUUCAAAGGCAGAAGCUUCUUUUGUGUAUUUACUUUGGUCGGAAACCAAAUUGUGAAUAAAAGAUAGUCCUUCAACCUUAAUAGAUUUUAUAGAUUGGGUGUGUUUGCAAUGAGGGAGAAGGUUUUUUGUUUUUUCCUUGUUGUUUGGGUCCUUUUGUAAGGGGGUGAGUUUUUCUAUACUGUAUUUCUGUGGGUCGCUAUUUUAGCGCCUCUUUGCAAUACAUUUUUCUGCUUAUUGAUCAAAAAAAAAUUUCCCACUGCAAACCAUCCCAAGCACACACACAGAGAGCAUCUUAUAUGUGAGAAGAAAGAAGGAAUUGACUAAUCAUAUGUUGUCACUUCUCAGGACAUUCCAAAACAUCAUGAAGCAGUUAUACUGCCAGCUUAUUCUAAGUCAGUGGGGCUUGGUAAUGUGAUCUUGCUCUUAGAGAAGGUAAUUUCCUGGAAUUAGAAUAGAUCAAACAAGUGGACCCGAACCUUGAGGUACUAACUACACCUGGCACAACCAGUACUAAGUAAUCCAGGGCAUUCAACCAGUGGCAGAAAUCAAACCCAAGCAAAGGUAAUUCUCAUUCUUAAGGAAUGGGGAAAAAGAAGGGGGGGGGGGGGGGGGCGGGGUGGUAAAAAAAAAAAAGGAAAAAAAAAAAACCCUUUUUCACCCCCUUAUUUAUUUUUUUACAAAAAAAUCUGAAUUUUUUAAAAAAAAAAUUUGAAGGGUUAAUUCAAAAAUUUGCUUAAACCCCCAAAAAAUUUCGGGGAACAAAAAACUAAACUAAAAAUGAAGGGCAACAAAACCCCCAAGGCCGGAAAAAAACCAAAUUUUAAAAAAUAAACCUCAUAUCUUUUUUUACCUUUAAUUAGGAACAAAAAUUCCAUAUUCUUUCAAAGGGAUGCUUUUCCGGAAAAAAAAUUUUUUUUCCCAAGCAAAAAUGCCCCCAAACCAAAAANNNNNNNNNNNNNNNNNNNNNNNNNNNNNNNNNNNNNNNNNNNNNNNNNNNNNNNNNNNNNNNNNNNNNNNNNNNNNNNNNNNNNNNNNNNNNNNNNNNNUGGCAACUAAAUACUAAACUAGAAAUGAAGGUCAACAUAACCCCCAAUGCUGAUAAUAACCAAAUAUUAGAAUAUAAACAUCAUAUCAUUUUUUACCUUUAAUUAGGAACAGAAAUUCCAUAUUCAUUCAGAGGGAUGCAUUUCCUGAGAUAAGAUUUUUGUUCCCAAGCAUAAAUGCCAGCAAACCAAAUAUGCUCUUGGGAACAUAUUCUCUGAACCUAAACAUACCAAAGAGCUAUCCGUACACUAAAAUGGUUGUUGAAAGGUCGUUCAGUUAUUUUAUUCAUCACAAAAUACCCACAUGGUACAUACAAUUAAAUAUGAAAAGCAACUUCAGAAUAUAUCAAUGUAGCAGACAAUUUAAAAUGAGAAUAAAACUAAUCGAUGAUAAAGAAAAUAAGACAAUUUUUAUUAAAAAAAGUUGAAAUGACAAAACACACACACACAAAUAACAUCAUACUACAGUAAAGAGUAAUCACCUCCUUCGUACUAAGAGUUCUCAAAGAACGAGUUGUAUCUUGAGCCCGAAAAACUAUAGUCUGCAAAAUCUGUUCAUCGAACAUGAUAAAACCAUAACAAAUGCAAAUCAGUAUUCCACAGGAUGAACAAGUACAAAUUAAGGAAACACAACCUGCGAUUUGAUGUCUGUGGCAUACUUCACAACAAAGAGCUCUCAACAAAAAUUUUUAAUAAAAAAAUUCAAAGAAUGGAAAAAGGGAAUAGAAAAACCUGAAGAACAGAAAGAUGUCAUCUAAGAAAAAAGAUAGGGAAAAAAAAAACCUAAAUAACAGGCCACAACUUGCAGGCUGACAAAGAAAACGAAGAGAAUAAGCUCAUUUAAGACACAAAGUUCCCAACAUAGAAAUCCAAAGCGGUGGAACCAUUUUAGCCAAGAAUUUCAAAUCAACCAAUCUAUGAAUCUACAGCAAGGAAACAACUCAAACUAUACUACUUGAUAAAGUGCAAAGCCCCUUAGGUCUUUUGUAAAAGGUUCAAGAAAUUAAUUAAACAGUACACAACAGAAGAAAACCAGUGCAAACAGAAACCAAACAAAAAAUACCUUCAUUCCUCACCCAUCAGCAUAGUGAUAAAUAUAGAAAUAAUAAAUAAGUUGCUAAGACCUUUACCUUACGGAAGGACUCGGGGCCCAUCUGUUUUUCCAACAUUUGAAGGAUUGCAACCUUUUAGAGAACACAACAAACAAUCAAAAAAGGAAUACGAUAAGAAACUAACCAAAAACAAUUACUAAGUACAGAAAAAACUUACAGACUUCCAUGAUCUUAUUUUUCCAUAUAAGCCAAUGCACUGGGUUCCAUAUAAAUCCUUACAAGAAGCAGAAGAGCUCAAAGCAGUUGCGCCACUAUCAUCUGCUUUGCAAACAGCACAAUUUGCCUGCACUUUGAAGACGUAAAAUUGCAUGAAUUUGCUUUAAAUACAUGAAAAUUCGACUCUUAUUAUCAGCAUUUGCAAGAGAAGACAAAGGAUAGUAACUUCUGAAUGGAUUACAGUGAAAGUAAAUAGAACUUAAAAAGCAAGCUCCUAAGUGCAGAACUAAAAUACUAGGAAACAUCCAGAAUUCCAGGUAAAAUAAGAUGCCACAGGUAAAAUAAGAAUGUUAUAAUUUAAAAUUGUUAAAAUCAGUAAAUCAAAUUCUACUAGACUUUUCGGCUUAUUAUGUAAAGUUAUAACUCAAUUCUACUUUCAUAGUGUAUUUACCAUUCUUUUCUUUUCUUUUCUUUUUUAUUUUAUAUAGGCAAAUAGAUCAACAUUGAAAAGCACAUCACAGAAAAAGAUUGGGCACACACACAAACACGGGGCAGUUCUAUUUUCAUAGUUAUUCAGGUAUUUUCAAUAUUCAUGGUUGACAGGCCAAGGAGAGAAUUUUGUGGCUAUUACCAUUUUAAAAAACAAAAAUAAAAAUAAAUAAAUAAAUAAGAUGGCAUCAUGCACAUCAAUCCUCACACCAUUUGAAUCCAAAACUAAAGAACUUGUUUGGCAACAUUUGUGAAAACAGUUCUCAAAAAACAAUUUUUGUGAACAGUUCUUGAUUAUUUUCAAGAACAAAAUUCUAUUUGGGUACUCCAAUAUGAAAAACAGUUUUCCCAACUUAUUCUCCAUGAGAGUAGUAUGCAUUUAUGUAUAAUGCAAAAGUUCCUAAAGUAUUCUCAAUAGUUUCAAGUGUUACUAAGAAUACUCUAUAAAUAACAGCUGAAAACACCUCAAAUUUGUUCUAAAAAACAGUCAAUUUUCACAACAAAUUCUCAAAAAAAAAUAUUUCUAUCAAAAAAAUUGUCAAACAUGUUUUCCAAGUUAGAACAUGGUUUUUUGCUAUAAAGAACAAAAAAACUGUUUUUAAGAACAGUUUCCAACAAACCCUAAGGAUUCAACUCUCUAAGUAUCAAUAUCACCAAUAUCAAUGCAAAUUAAUAACAGCAUAUUCCAUUUUUUUCAAAUUAUUAAAGAUGUUAACAAGUAUUAGUCUUAGCAUCAAACUAUUCCAGCAAGGUGUGAAUUAAAAUGCUCAUUCUAAAGUCAGUUUCUUUAUUUAGAAAGUUGUGUAGGUGAAGAUUCUUAUUGUCUGCAAUUUAUGAGAAGAGGUAGUAUCCUUGUGUUGUCUGUGUUGCUUGUGCAAACAAAAGGACAAAUUGGCUAACCCAUACUCUUACUCAUUGUGAUUGUGCACAUAGCUUAUGAUCUCCAUUGUUUGCCAUCUUUGGAGUUGCUUGGGUUUGGCCUUUCUUAGUCAAGAACAUGCUCAUUACCGGCAUAAUAAGUUCAUGGGCAAGAGGAGGAUGGAGAGAAUGCCCCUUUGUGCUUAUUCUUGCCUCUAAACAGAGCACAUCAAAGAAAUUUUGGAGUGUCGGGAUCAGGUUCUGAAACAUUAUUUCCCUGAAUUCCUAUUUCUUUGCUCAAGGAAUUCCUAAGGUGUUAGGAAGCUGUCUUUCUUAGACAUUGUUUAUGAAAUGGGGAUGGUUUAAAGCCUUCUUAGCAACCAUAGUUCCAUUUUAUUCUUUCCUUUUGUUUCUUAGUGUUCAUUGCUUGCUUUUCAACUACCCAAGUUGUCCUAGUUCAACCCAAGUUGCAUGCCUACCUCACAUGGUUUCAGUCCCCUUGUACUGUUUCUCUUCCUCUGAUAAUAUUCUUUUUCUUAUUAAAAAGCAUCAAAAAGGAUGAGGGAAGGAGGAAUAGGCAAUGAACCUAAUGGCGGAAAGCCUUUUAAAGACUAUUCAAGGAAGAUGGAAGACCUAAGUAAACUUUAAGUAUAAUUAAUAUUAAUUAGAAUUGAAUUAGGAUUACUAUUUGUUGGAGUCAAAUUAGGAUUAGCUAAUUAAAUUAUAAUAUAAUUAGAAUUUGAGUCAUAAUAGGUUAUUAGAGUCCUAGUAGACUUUGGAUGUUAUAAUUAGGAUUAGAUUCAUAAUAGGUUAUUAGAAUCCUAAUAGACCUUGGAUUGCUUAGAGAAGCCUAUAAAUGGGCUGAUUGAUGUAAAUCAAAGAAAUGAAUUGAUUGAUAUUAAUAAUAUUAUGUUUUUCUUCAUUGCAAGUGUUGCAAUCCUCAAUGGUGAGAUUCCAUUGAUUUUCUUCUAAGUGAGACUCCUAGAAGGUCUUAGUGAGACUCUAAGGUUCUCAUUUUUUCUUCAUCGUUUCUUCUCUCUCUAUUUUUUUUUUUUUUUUUUUUUCUACCAUAAACUUUAUUCCUUAUUCCUCUCCUUAUACUCUAAAAUCAAAACCCUAGCCCACCUACUUUGAGUGUAGGCAACCAUCUUAGGGUUGUCCUACAUCAAUUCCUUCUCCGAUGUUAUCACUCCUCUCUUAGCCAAGAAACCCACUUCCAUAUCAACAACAUUAAACAUCUAAGAAACUAUGCACUAAGGAUUAAUAAAAGUCCUUUACAUCCUUCAAACUGUAGGCAUAUCUCCAAGAUCCACAUGCUCUACUGCAAACCCACCUGAAAAUGGUGGAAAAAUUCUUAUUUAACAAUGAUUUCUAUAAUGGUAAUUUUGGACAAAUUGGAGGCAUUCCUGAAGGCCUUAAAGAAGAGCUAUAAUUUCCACAUCUAAGAAGUCCAACCAAUACAAUUUUAAAUAGAAAGUCAACUCAUUGAAGCUCAAGUUAUCUUAAGCAGCUAGAGGGGAAUCCACUUAAAGCAUAUUCAAUAGUGAAAGCACAAAGCCUGUUUAUUACCUCUAAUCCCAAAAAAAAUUUAAAAAAAAAAAAAAAAAAAGCCAAAGAGUAUAGAGCCAAUCAAAGCCCUAGUCAAUGCUAGGAUGGCAAUUCUAUCCCACAUAUGAUUUUUUUUCUUUUUGAUAUAUUUUUUCUUUUUUUAAUUUUAUGAUAGGCAAAGAUCAAUUAUAUCAACAUUGCCUAACAAAAGGGUAUACAAAGGCAUAUACUGUAAAUACAAGGAUGCUAAAAGCCAAAAUGAAUCUCUAGCUUUGCUUAGAUUUAACCAGUUAACAAAGUCCAUCAUGGAGAAACAACUAUCUCCUGUGUACACUCUAACCCACUCCAAAAUGUUAUAUAUAAUUAUUUGAUUGUUUGAUCCACUUUUUCAAAAUUAUCAAAUGCUCUCAUAUUUCUCUCCCUCCAUAUGAUUUAAAAUAAGCACAAAGAAGCAACUCUCCAAGUUUUCUUCUUCGUUCCAAAAAAGGAUCCAUGUCAAUUGAGGAAUGUAUCACCCAAUCUAUUCCAAAUAAAGCAUGAAUCAGUUGUAAUAGGAUGACUACGUUCUAACAGUGAAGAAGGAUGUGAUCAACAGUUUGUUCUUCUCCUUUGCAAAGAUAGCAUUUGUUCAAAAUCCUCUAACCCCUCCUUUUGAGUUGAUCCAAAGUCAAUAUCCUUCGUUGAAUAGUUUCUCAGGUGACAGUAUCCAAUAAUUCCAAUCAAUACUAGAAGGGAAUGUCUCCAUUCUUAAAUUUGAUACAGAGGAUAAAGAAAUUUAACUAAAAAAAAUGUCUUUCCUUGAAUUCAACCAAACCAUUUUAUCAUUUAUAUCCCUAUAAAUUGUUUGUGCUAACAGCUUUUAAGAAAGGCCUUCAUGCCAUCUAUCUCCCAGUAAUGAAUCUAUCUUACAAACCUCGAGUUCUAAUAAUCUCCCAUGCCAUCCUGCUCCCAUACAUCAACUAACCAUGCAUCUUUACCCGUGGCUAAUAAGAAUAAUUCUGAAAAAACUUCGUCUAGGAACAAGUCACCAGCCCACCUAUCCUUGCAUAAUUUCACAUUCCACCCACCACCUACAUUAAAACUAGUUUGAUUGUUAAAGGUCUCCCACCAGCUUACACACCCACCCCAUACCCUUCCCCCACUUCUUGAGAGCACCACCUCCCCAUACUUCCCUACCAUAGUUUUAAAAGGCUCAAGGCGCACCAAGGCACAAAGUAGUCCUGGAGCCUGAGGCGCAGGUUUUAGUGAAGUGAGGCACACCCUAAUUUACAUAUAUUUUUCCUCCUCUUCUUCGCCUUCUUCACUUCUCCAUUGCACAGCUGAGGCUAGGGCAAAAUUUGGGAGAGUUGUCGGGUUGAAAGCAACCAGAAAAGGGGGCUGGAAGGGAAAACAGGGCCAAAACAUCAUUGUUUUGGCCUGUUUUUUAUUUUAAAGGAACAGGCUCCAAAACAGCAUUGUUUUGGCUUGCUCUUUUUAAAAUAAAAAGGGCUAAAACGAAAUCAUUUUGACCCAUUUUUAAAAAGGUCUAAAACGACGUCGUUUUGGUCCCAAAAAAUCAAAAAAAAAAAAAAAUUAAGGUUUCUCUCUGCCCUUUGCAACCUGACACCGGAGAAGAAGAAAAAAAAAAAAAAAAAAAGGAGAAGGAGAAGGUAGGGGAUCAAGGCACACCUGUGGACCGCAUCACGCCUUGCACGCCUAAGCGGCGCCUUCAUGAAGGGGUGUCGCCUACCUUCAGGCAAGGCGUCGAAGGAUGGCGUCAUGCCGCCUGGAGCCUAGGCACGCCUUUCACAACUAUGUUCCCUACAAAUAACAAUCACCUACUUCUAAAGAGAUUGUCUUUCCAUAGCGAACCUUCAACACCAUUUGUCCAAAAGAGCUUGUUAAUGAUGGAUAGAUUUCUAACACCCAACACUAUUUUCUUUCUCAUGCAAACCAUCAACCAAUUCACCAAAUGUGGUUUUCUCACGAUAAACUCUCCCACCAAAAGAGAUCACUUUGGAUCCUUUUUAGCUUUAACCUCACCAUUUUUAAGAUGACAAAUAAAGACAUGAAGUAAAUUCAAGUGUUGGACAGAGUAUUCUUUAUUAGAGCUAUUCUUCCUCUUUUUGAUAGGGUAUUGCUUCUUCCACAUAGAUAGUUGCUUCUAAAAUUUUUCGUCUAUCACAUCCCAAACCCAUGACACACUGAAUGGACCUACCUACAUUGUAGCACCCUAGGUAGUUCCUCCAAGUUAGCAACUAUCCUAACAAGGAUCAACUCACCUUUUUUCAGAUUCAUUUUUAACUUAAGAUUGCCCUAAAUUACGUGAACGUUUAGUUCAAAUGUUCCAUAUGCUCCUUAGUAGCAUCGUAGAGAAUAAGAGUGUCAUUAGCAAAUAACAUAUGGGAUACUUUCAAUCCCUCAUCUCCUCUUCCACUAACUAAGAACCCUUCUAUGAAACCCCCUUCCUUAACUUUUUUCAGAAUGUGAGAGAGGGACUCCAUGGCCAUGAUAAAGCAAUAUGGGAACAAAGUGUCACUGUGUCUCAAGCCUCUUAAACUUAGGAAAAAGCAUGUUAGAGUCUCAUUAACCAAUAUGGACAAGUGAGUCAUAGAGUUACACCACUUAAUCCAUCUCAUCCAUCUAGGACCAAUUCUUUUUUUUUCCAAGAUCACUAACAAAAAGCCCUAAGUUGGCAUGAUCAUAUGCCUUCUAAAUGUCUAAUUUACAUGUGACCCCAUUGACGGUGUUUUUCAACCUUAAGUUGAUGACUUCAUUAGUUAUGGGGACCACAUCCAAAAUUUGUCUCCCCUCCACAAACGCAUACUAAAAGUCCAAAAUCAUUUUUUUCACCACCGCCAAAUUGACUGGCCGAAAUCUUACAAAUCUUCUGCACCCCACUUUGUUUAGACAAAGACUAUCAAAAUGGCCUCUUAGUUCAUAGAAAUUUGCAAAAGAAGAAAGGGAAAAACACAAACAAACAAAACUUAUCAACUCACCUCACUUUUCACAAAAUCCCAACAAAACUACCAAGGUUAUGGAGAAGUUUUUCAGCCUAGGGGCUUUAUCCCCACAUAAAUUGAAAAAGGCUAAUAAAACCUUCUCCUCAAAACAGUGUCUCCAAGGAUCCUAAUUCUCUCUACACAAAGUUUCCAAACCCUUCCACCAGGGCUCAUAAGAUCCAACUCUAAAGAAUGGAUAAAGGGCUCUCUAGUUACAAAAGAGGCCCACAUCUGCUACAAAUCAUCCACUGGGCUAGCUCCAUUUAAAAUAUUAAGGCCACUAUUUUUUGGCUUAAUGGCUCUCACUACCCAGACUUGCACAAAGCCUACCCUAUUAUCUUAGGCCUUAAUUGGCAAAAUAAGGCCUUUUUGGCCUUCUUCACUUUUCUCGACCACCUCCUCAUUCUUAAGCCCAAUACAACAGCAUUUUGUCUUGCCACUCCAUACUCAACCUUUUUGCUUUUGUCCUAUUACACAUGAAUCGAACCCUCAACCACCCCCAUUUCUCAUCCCAUCCCAACCCAUUACUACUUGAGCUAGGCUUCAACGGCACAUCAUUGACUACUUUCCCCACAAAUGUAGAAUAGAAAGCUUUCUUAGAUCUCCUAGAUUAAAACAAGUUUUUCAAGUCCAUUUAGCAAUAGACUAGCUCGUCUGACUAUUUUCCUCACAAAGGACACAAAUACAAAAUAGAAAGCAUUCUUUCUUGGGUCUCCUAGGAAACAAGUUUUUCAAUUCCAUAUAGCAAUGGAUUAGAUGGUUUCAAAUGCUCCUCAUUCAUAUCACUACAGUUUUUUUUUUUUUUUUUUUUUAAUACAUACGGACAACUUAUUUUUUGUAAGAAGUUUCUUAAGUUGUGUUUGGUUCCUUCUAUUGGGCAUUCACCAACGUAGCUUUUAUUCUUAGAUAGUCACUAAGGUAUGUUUCAUUGGUGACCAUUGCCAUAACAAAGAUUUCAAAAAAUAUGAAGUACACAAGAUAUGCAAACAGGUACCUAUUCAACAAGAAUAACCAAACAAACUCAAUCUAACCAGGAGCUUGGUUUGAGCAAACCUCAAACCACAGAUAGGGUAGGGGUAGGGCUGUCAGCAGCCUAUGCAACUCCUAGUGAUGGGCUUAGACUGGCCUCUAAACCAUCCAUCCUGUUUAAGGAAUUGCUCUAAGCAGAGCACCACAAACACAAUAAGCGGGAAAGGUUUGUUUAAGCUACAUCCAAAAUUGCACUUGGUGAUGUGAUUAAAUUCACUAAUGUUAUAUAAGUCAAUCAAAAGACAACUUAUAUAAGGUAAACCAAAUGUGAAAGCCCCCAUAAGAAAGCAAACCUUGUAUCUCCGGUAGCGUGCCUCAUUAUUUCCCAGAAAUCGCUUAACAAAUGAAUCAGUCAGAAAACCAGCAAGACCAUCCAACAACCACUCUGCCAAUAAGCAAUAAGCAAUAAGCAACCAUAUGAGAAGCCACUGUCUCUUCAAUACAGAUGAAACUAAUGAUCAACAAUAAUUCAAAACCUAAUCAAGCAAUACCAUGAAUAUUUCUACAUGCUUACCAUCAUUUGGUGCCUCAGGACUGAUAAAUACUCCAAACCAUUGCCUUGCAAGGGCAUAAGCAAGUUUAAUCCUCGUAUCUAUUGUCUGCUAAAACAUAAAUAAACCCAUCAGUGUUAUUACCAGAAAAGCAAGGAGAAAAUGAUAAUAAAUUUCUAAGACAGCUGAUAUUAGUAAUAAAACAUCAAUUGAUAAGAAGGCAUGCAUUAUCAUGCACUUCAUGCAUGAUCCAGAUUGAUAGAUGAGUACAUCAUAUGGCAUAAUGCUUAUUAAAAAAAUAUAGGACAAUAACAGCUACUCUGAAUUUCACAGGCUAAGCAUAUAAAACAUUUUGCACCACAUAAACACAUUUCAGGGAGACCCAAAAGGAAAAACAAAAUUUCAAAUGUAUUCAGACAGAUGAUGGAGGCCUGCACACUCAAUUUUACUUCCACAGCCUAUAUGUAGAAUCUAAUCCAAAAAAAUGGGGGUUGUGCUGUUUAGAGUUGAGAAUAUGCAGCUUAAUGCCUAGAAUUUGACUCCAAGAAUAAAAGAUCAUGCUCCUGCAUCAGGAGUUAAGGGUCCAGUGGAAGGAUUUUCGUAUAUGGGUUAGGAAUGUCAUAGAUUAGGAAAACUCAAGGUCAUUAAGGGAAACUUAAGAGAUUGAAAAUAGAAGGCUUUCCAUAAGUUUUAGCCACCCUCUGGCUGAUUUGGCUUGAAAGGAAUACCAGGAUCUUGAAAGAUAGGAGGCCACAAGUUGACGUCUUGUAGGUAAUAUCUAUUUACUUCUCUUUGGGUGGCUAUCACCAAGGAGUUACCUGGUUACUCUCAUUAGUAUUACUUUGUUGGAUGGAAGAUCAAUUUGUCUCUUGGGAUAGUCAUCGACAUCAUAAUUCAUGAGUGAGUGAGCUCCCCUAUACAUUGCCUUGAACUCAAUUUUGAUUAGUGCUUUUGGUUAACCAAGGCAGAUGGGUACUAGGAGGCCUCUUCAGAUAACCAUCAAAACCUGCUAGGUUGGGUCUGGAAUAAAGGUGGACAUUUCAACCUUACAAAAAGACAUGAUAGAUGCAACCACGUUUAUUGUUGCUAACUGUUUGAUGGAGAAGGAUUCAAUGAACACCAUGUCACAAGAAAGGAUAGCUCCAUCAAGAUAUAAUGUGAUUGCAUUGUAUUGUGGCUCUUUCUAUCUUUGCAUUAACUAUUGGACGGCUAGUCAUGAAGUUGAUAACUGGACAAAAAGGGAGCCUACUCAAUCAAGCUUUUUUUGGAGACCUUCUGCCCUCUAGAGUUUCUUUCUACUCACCUUUGCUUAUGUUUGCAAAAUUUAGAGAGGCCUUUUAUGUUGGGAGCCUAUUCUUAUCUUUCAUUUAUUCCUUUCAAAGGAAAAAAAAAAAUAGUAAUCACCGUGAAAAUAAAGCCUUGGUGCACAAUCCUGAGGGUGAACCAAAUCCACAAGGAAGAACAAGAAACUUGAGUUUGAGGCUAUUUUGGAACAAGAGGAAUUGACCCUACGGUGAACAUCUAAAGUAAAAUGGAUUAAGAAAGAGAAUAUAAUUGUAGACUUCUACAUAGGAUUGCCAAUUAGAAACAAAAGAAAAAUAUUCUUACAUCUCUCCUCAUUGAAAAAGGAGAGAAUAAAUUUUUGUUUUACAUAUCAUAAAUAAACAAUUCUUUUCUUUGAAUUGUAAUGGGAUAUAAAGAACAAACUACUCUUCAUAAAAUCAAAACCUGACCAAGAACUAGAAAAACUAGACAAGGUAGACUCAGAGAAGAAAUGUGAUCAUGCGGAUUAGGACUUCCUUGACAAUAUCAUAGAGAAAAGGGCAUAGGUACAGGUGGUGUAUGCCAAUGAGAGCAUGCAUUUUGUCGAUCAAAGCAAACAAUAACUAUACAAUUGGGUGUGGGUUGUUACAAAAUGAUAUCAAAGUCGAUCUCUAACCCCAGUAUAGGGGUUUGUUUGACCCCAUAGGGUGUUUGUUUGUUUGACCUUGCAAUCUCGCGAGACACAACAAAAACAUUGUGUCUACAUGAGAGGGUGUUUUUUAUGUCCCACAUCAGAUAGGGGAAAAAGUUUCUAGCACUACAUAUGUGUGGACUCCUCUUAACCAUGUAGAUGCGUUUUAAAGUCAUGAGAGCCCCUUUGGGCUCAAAGUGAACAAUAUCUAUUGUGGAGAAAGUUCCUAACGCUACAUAUGUAUGGACUCUUUUUAACCAUGUAGACGCAUUUUAAAACCAUGAGAGCCCCUUUGGGCUUAAAAAGAACAAUAUCUACAUGGUUGGGUGUGGGUCAUUAAUCUAUACAAUUUUUUUUUUAUUUUUUUUAUUUUAUAACCAAUGAACCUUUCAUAGCCAAACCCUUAGGACUCUCCAUGGGGACCCAAACCUCGGGGUGUUGACCGCCCCCCAACAACCAACACCAGGUAAAUUCAGGAUAUCAUCAGUGGCAAGAUUCAAACCCAGGACCAUAUGCCACUUACUAGGACCACACUCCCCAAUAUUUGCCCUGACCAACUAGGCUACCCUAAUGAGUCUACACAAUUUUGAUUAAUAUGAAAGCUAGAUGAUGGACUGGGGCUUCUAAGGGUCUUAGGAAAUGGGUUGACCUUCUCUCUUUUCUCUUUAUGAUAGUGGUACAUGUCCUAAGUAGGAUUACUAAUAGAGCUCAAAUUUAAUUUUGUGAUAGGAUUUAAACUCUUAAAAGAGAGGAUUUAUAUUUUGCACCUUUGAUUUGCAAAAGAUAAUAUUUUUCUCUCCUUGAAGAUGAAAUUUUUCUAACUAAACAUAUAUCGGAAGAUUUGGGAUGAUUUCUAACCUUAAACUGUUAACUCCAUCUUGUACCCUUUCAUGAUCAAGUACUACAUCCUCAUAACUUCAAUCUUGACAAAAUACACCAACUCAAAAAGGAUUAGAUUUUUUUUUUUAAUCAGAAACAAAUGCAUUAUUAAAAUGGAUUAAAAGUACAAGUGAAGGAUGAAAAAUCUUCCCAAAUUUACAAAAUCCAAUCAAAAUUAGAGGUAGAGAAACCUUCUCCAAUAUACAUCUAAAGGGUACCACAAGAAACAAAACAAAGAAAAGGCUUAGAUAUCCUUAGACCCUGCCUAUCUUAUCACAAAAUGCCAUAUUGCUCACUAUUGCCAGCUUUCAACCUGGGUUUCAGGGUUCACCAAUUUUCAAUGAAAGGUAAUUUAAGAAAGCUCUUUUCACUUGCUUCUUCCUGCCUCAAAUCCUCCUACCCAGCCUCUCCCUCUCUUCUUCAUCCCUGCAAAGAUCUUGACUGACUGUUUUAAUUCCUUUUACCUGUUGGAAAAUCUCCAACUGCAAGAGCCCAGGAUUCUCCUUUUUUUUUAUCAGAAACAAUAUACAUAUUGAUAAUAAUAAAGUUGAAGAGAAGGAUAAGAGGUCCUUCCCACAAGGUACAAAACCUGAUCAAAGUAAGAGUAUACCCUCCACUGUACAAGGAGAAAUACUGAUAAAAGCAUGUACAAAAUCUCUCAAAAAUCAAAACCAAACUCUCUCAAAAGUUAUCUACCCCUUUCUAAUUACAAACCGAAAGCCAACUAAAUAGAAUAACCUAAAGGGGAAUUCCUCUAAAAGUGAGUAGAAAUGAAUAAGAUCUCAUAACAUCCCUUCCGUUCUACACUUUUCCUCAAAAAUCCUAGCAUUACUCUCUUACCACACAACCUAUAAUACAGUGAAACAUGCAACAUGCCAAAGCAUCUUGCCUCUAAUUGAAUUCCCCAAGCCUCUAAACGAAAUAAUCAUCAUAUCUCCAAUACUCCUUGGUGGAACCCAAUCCAAACUAGCUACACUGAAGAGCUUAUGCCAAAGCCCCAACAUUAUUGGGCAAUGUUGGGGAUGAUCAAUUGAUUUUCCACUCUCUUUGCAUAAAAUGCACCAAUGAGGACUAAGAGAUUUGUAAGGUCUUCUCACUUGUAGCAUAUCAUUGGUAUUAACCUUCUUAUGCACCACUAACCACACAAAGGCCUUGACCUUUGAUAGGACUUUUGAUUUCCAAACAAAAUUAGUCGAAAGGAACAGAAUUGGAUUAGAGGGCUUGGACAAGAUCAUGAAAAAAGAUUUUACUGAAAAUAAUCCAGCGGAGGAUAAGGACCAAACUCUUGAGUCUAUGGUAGAAAAAGCCAGUGGAGAUUUUACUUUUCUUGCCCAAGAUUCUUCUUUUUGGAUCAAAUGAACUUUGUAACACUGUCCUCAAACAUCAAUAACAGGGCAUACCUUGCCUAAACUUUACCUUCUCAACUCCAUCCAGUGUAGGAAAUGGCAAUAUAUCAUCUCUCUCACAAACUGUUCAAUCUCAACUUCUAAUUUAUAAAUAAUAAUAAUAAUUAAAAGAAGAAGAAUAUAAUGAUGAUGAUGAUGAAAACUGAACACAACAAGGGACCACUGUUAACUGUAUCCAAUCUAUUUGACACUAUUGAGCAGGCCAUAAUAAUGUAUUGAACGCAUUUAAGAAUAUUAAACGUUGUUAGAACAUAAAAAAUAUUAAUAAUAGGAACCCACUGGCUUGGGAAUGCAAAAGAGAGAGUAGAUAGCAAUCAGUACAAAGAAACCACAUCUUUGAAGAAAUAAAUAAAUAGUCAUAAUGACCAUAAGUAUAUCAUUGAAUAAUCAUCACAUAACUGACCAACUAAAUUAGUUGAGUAAAUAAACAAACCUGAUCAAUAACCUUCUCAUCAAAUAGAAUUUGAGAACUAAAGAUGCUCAUGGAGGCUCCCAAUGUCAAUGAGGAUAUUGCCAUUUCAGGAGCAAUAAAGACUUGCUUGUAUGAUCCAAAUGGAAAUGAUGCAGAAAGAUAAUCCUCAUAAUGGCUGUGAAAGUAAAACAUGGAUAUUAAAGGAUAGAACCAUGCAGGUAGCAUGAAGAGAUAGAAUUUAAAAUCAAAUUCACACAAGAAAUACAAAAGUCUCAAAUGAAAGUAUAUGAAAAAAUACAAACCUAAAUGCACUAUGGAAGAAACCCACAGUAUUCCAAAGCUUGGGUAAAUUAGCUGGCAAACACAGGUAUGAAAGAAGACCACUAUGGCGGUCAGGAAGUACUUCAAAGGGUGCAACUGCCAAUUGUAUCCACCUUGCAGUAACUGGAACAUUUAACUUAUAGACAUAUGUUUUUCUAGGAGGGUCAUCUUUGCUUAACACCUGUAAAAGAAGAACAAUUGAGUGAUAAAGGUUAGAACAUCAACAAAUACAAAGCCACUAAUCAGUAGAAGAAUACAGCAUUCCACAUGCAAUUCUCAAUAUAUACAAAAAUUUGUUACCCCUUGUAAAUGCAUUUUUUGCUCGGCUCCAUAUUAAUACACAUGUUCUCGUGUGAUAUAAAAGAUUAAGGCACAAAAAGUUCUAUGAGUCUGAGAUGAGAUGACCUCUAUCUUUGUAAUUAUUUGUCUCAGUCACGAAAAGCUCUCAGUUUCAUUUAAAGAAUAGAACAAUGUGGAUUCAUCAGUCACUUUAAGGUGGGGCAUAAGGGAGGAGAACUUUUUGUGACACCAAUUAAGAGCAGCUAAGGUAUCUUAGCUGGGCCCUUGUAUGCAUGUGAAGUCAUACAUGCGCAUGGAAAAUAUGCAUACAUGAGCAUGGUAAAUAUGAUACAUGAGCAUACUAAAUAUACAUAUAUGCACAUAGCAACGUCAAUGGGCAUUUGCCGAUUUUCAAAAAUUCCAUUAACUAACAAAUUAUGAUAAAGAAGAAGGUUGAGUAAGCGAUUGAACUCAAGAAAAAAAUUCACUUGUACCCUUGAUGAUAGACCAUAAACCUUGAGGAAGACCCUGGAAGUGUGGUGAGCGAGGCCCGCAAGCAUAAGGAUUGAUUUAACCAAGAAAGGAAGUAGAUUAGUAUUUAUUAUUAUUAAUUUAUUAUUAUCGAUGUAUCGUGUGUCAUAAUUCUUUUCCUCAAUGGGAGAGAGAGAGCGAGAUCGCGAUGGCGAGGGGGGUGAAGAUAGUGAGGUGCCUCGAAGAAGAAGGAAGGAGAGCAGCUUCGUAGUGGAGUCCAAGGUGUUCGAGCUCACGUUAGUAGAAAGAAGAGGAAAAUCCCAAAUCUACAUCGUGGAGAGAAAGAGGGGGGUCUCGUCUUGGGUUCGAGUGGGAGCGGAGAGUUUAGGGUUUCUCUUGGAAGGUUUAAAUCACUGCAUAAAGAACGAGAAAGAAGGAAGUUGGGAAAGGGAAUGGAAGGAAAAGGGGAGAUCUUACUCCCUGUUGCGAAGUGCGACUAAAGCGGGGUGUUUUCUCCGGCUAGGGGUAGUCGAUUCGGAGCGAAAGCAAUACAACAUUUACAUUCCAAAAGGUAGAGGAGAAAAAGAGGGAUGGGUUUCUAUGGCGGAAAAUCUACAACUAAUGGGAGGAUCAAUCGGUAGAAAGGACAACAUACAAGAAGAAAAGGUUGUUGGGAAACUUGCUUUGGAGAGAACGUACGCGGAAGUGGUGAAGAGGCCGAGAUGUAGGGAUAAAAAUUCAGUCAAAGUGGAGGUACGAAGGGAGGAAAUCCACAGAAAUUUGCAGAAAUUGGAACAUUGCAUCGUUGGGAGUUGGAACCCUAGAUCAGAUGGAGGAGAGGAUUUGAAGAAAUUGGGGAGAUUAUUGGUGAAUUCUUAGGGGAUGAAAGGAAAAUUAGGGUUGGCAAGACUGGAGAAGAGUAGGAUUUUGUUGGAAUUUGAAUUCUUGGAUGAAGCCAAACGCACUCUCUUUUCAGGGGAGCGAAUGAUGGGAGGGCUUCAUUUGAGACUUGAGAAAUGGCGCCCUAGGAGCGGCUGUCGGGAUGAGGAGGAAUUAAGAAACGAAGCCUGGGUCAAAAUUGUUGGGCUACCAGUCUCGAUGUGGGACCCGACCAUUUUGAGAAGGGUGAGGGAUGAGUGUGGUGGCUUCAUUGCCAUCGACCCUCAGACGGAGAAGUUGGAGGAGCUCCAAUGGGCUCGGAUCUUGGUAAAGACGAACGGAGAAUUUAUGCCGAGCAUACUGGAGAUCGGUGUUGAGGAGGAUGUUUACUCCCUUAUUCUAAGGUGGGAGCUUAGACCGUCUUUGAGGAAGGCCAGGGUAGACAGUUGUGAAACGAUCAGUCGAAAAAGUGGGGAGGUUAGGGGUGACGAAUUCUCACGCGCUGGCUCGCGCGUGGAGGAAGAUUCUGAUUUCGAACGGCCCGAGGCACUGUAUUUGUCAGCUGAGGGGAUGGGCGUGCAGGAGAGGGGUUUGGGUCGGGAGGUGAUCGCAGACCGGGCCCAAGGAUCAGCAACCAUGGGCUCAUUGAAAAGGGCCUGUGGGCUGUGUUUGCAAAGUCCAUCAAUGGACCUAAAGUUAAAAGGAGUGGUGGCUGAAGUUGCCGGGCCAAAGGCUGGACCAUCCAAGAAAUGGGCUAUUGAUGAGGCUGGCCCAAUGCCUGAUGGACCAACUAAUCUGGAUGGGGCUAGACCAGACAAGCCCACGACCCAAGGCACAGUCAAAGGCCCCUAGGAGAAGGCCUGUCUUCUGGAAUGUAUAAUAGCCAGAAGCGGGAGGUUCUCAGAGGCAGAACAGUUAGUUUCCUAGGAGACAGAAGGCCUAAGGAAGCAAAAAGCGAAAGCUAUUCUCUCAGCAACAGACAAGGCUCUGGUAGAGGAAGCCAUGAGGUAUGGUUUUGUUUUAAAAACAAGGGAAAAAAUGGUCUAUGGGUCACCUCAUCUUAUUUCUUAUUCUUUUGAUCGGGCUCCGGAGGGAGAGUAUUACGAUCGCUCUGGGGUCUUAGGGGAGGUAACUGGGAUCAAUGAUGAAAAUAUCGGUAAUCACGGAUAUAUCGGUACUUCGAUUUUACAGAUAUAUCGGAUAUAUCAGAGAUAUAUCGGCGGAUAUUUUGGAAACAAAUAUCGAUUAACCUAAAAUUGAUCAAAAUUUAUAAAAAUAUAAGAAAAACUUCAUAAAAAUGUAAUUAAAAGUAUAAUGAUAUUUUUAAAUUAUUUUAUUAAAUGAUUUUAUAUAUGUAUAAUAUGAUUUAUCAUAUUUGAUAAUAAUAUUGUAUGUGCUAAUAAAAAAACUAUAAAUUUCAUAAGUAUAUAUUUAUUAUUAAAUUAUAUCAAAUAUUAUUCAUAAUAAUAUUUGUGAUAUUUUAUUAUAAUAUGUCUAAUUUUAAAAUAUAUUUAAUAUUAAAAUUAUAAUUUAUUUUAUUUAAUUGUAUUAAAUGAUAUAAAAUAAAUGAUAGUAUAUGUAUAAUUUUUAAUACUUAAUUAACAUAUUAAUGAUAUUAAAAACACUAUAAAGAAAAUUAUCACGAUAAUUUUUAUAUUUUUGGUAUUCAAAUAGAUGAAAAAAAUUUAUUUAAUUAUAAAAUAAUUAUAAUUAAUUUGUUCUUUAAAACAUUUUUUUAAAAUUAUGUUUAUAUGAUGAAUUUGACUUUAUAUAUAUCAAGGAGCAAAGUUGCCCCAGCGGUUGGUUCAUUGCCAACCAAACCUUUUGGCUGGGGUUCGAGCCCCCACGACGGAAAUCUUGAGGCAUUUUUAAAAGUUUGACCGCACAGACCGCAUUGACCCUCAUUUGACCGCCCAAAUUAUCGCAAUAUAUUGAAGAUAAAAUGAUAAAAUGCUAAUAAAUCCCGAGAAAUAGGUGAAAUUCAUGAUAAAUUGGUAAAAUAUCGUGAAACCGAUAUUUCUCUUCCAUAUAUCGUGUCGAGAUGCUCUGAUACUCGAUAUUUUCCUCCCUGAUCGGGAUUGAGAAUCCAUUGGGAUUGUUAACUGAAGUUGGGCCCGGAGAGAAUGGCAAUGGCUGCUGGGACUUGGUAGAAAUCACUAGUGUCAGUAACAAGGUUAGGGGUGUGAAAUGGGACUCAGAUAUAUCCGAGCCUCAAGAUAUCAGGAGCGAGAAAGAGGACAGAUGGGAGGAAAGUAGUUUGGCGAAAUUCAGUCACUUCUUGGGUUUUUCGACAGAGGGUCUAGAAAAGGAAAUUCUGAGCUUUUUGAUCAAAAUAAGAAAGAAACGGGAAAGGAUUCAUAGCAAAGAGUUGUUGGAGAAGUCAAAGUUCGAAAGGGAGUUAAAGAGGUUGGAGUGUUCAGUUAAUUAUGAGAAGGUGAAUAAGCAGAAAGGCCCAUCACAGGGCAAAGGGUGUCAAAUUGCAAUAGAUCAAUGAAGCCAAAGUUGUUAAGUUGGAAUGUGAGGGGAGCAAAUGACAGUUUCAAAAGGAAAAUCAUUAAGACUUUCAUAAGGAAUCAAAAGGUUGAUUUACUGUGUAUUCAGGAGACAAAAAUCCAACCAAUGUCGGAGGGUGUGGUGAGAAGCUUAGGUUCAGGGAGAUUCUUAGAUUGGAGGGCUUUGGAUGCGGAUGGGGUAGCGAGAGGCCUAUUGCUUUGUUGGGAUAAAAGGUCGUUGGAAAUAUUGGAUUGGGAGGAGGGUCAAUUCUCUCUAUCUUGCAGAUUCAGGAAUGUGGAAGAUGGGGUUGUUUGGGUGUUCACGAGAGUCUAUGGUCCUUUCACCAAAGAGGAAAUGGAAUGCUUGUGGGAAGAGUUUGGGGCCAUUAGAGGAAUUUGGGAAGAUCCUUGGUGCUUAGGGGGUGAUUUUAAUAUUACUUUAUUCCAAAGAGAAAGAAGCAAACAAGGGAGAAUAACCUCAACGAUGAGGAGGUUUGCUCAUAUUAUCGAUGAGUUAGGAUUGGUGGAUCUUCCACUGCAAGGGGGAGUGUUUACUUGGAGCGAGGGUCUUAACAAUCAGUCAUGGGCUAGACUGGAUAGGUUUCGUGUGUCUCCUAGUUGGUUAGAUCAUUUCAGUGGCGUGCUCCAAAGAAGACUGCCCCGGCCUCUUUCGAAUCAUUUCCCUGUCCUCCUAGAGGGUGGCGGGCUAAGAAGAGGUCCCUCUCCUUUUAGAUUCGAAAACAUGUGGCUUAAGGUUGAGGGCUUUAUAGAUCUUAUCCGAAGUUGGUGGAGGGAGAUUGAGGUCAAAGGCACUGCUAGCUUUAAAUUGGCUGCAAAGAUGAAGGGGAUCAAAUAGAAACUAAAAGCUUGGAAUAGAGAGGUUUUUGGGAAUCUGGAGUGCAAUAAAGUUUCAGCUUUGCAGUAGGUGGAAUUCUGGGACCGGAUGGAAAGUGAGAGAAGACUGUCAUUGGAGGAAACAGAAUUAAAAAAUGAAGCAAAUGAAAUUUAUAAAAAAUGGGUACUCAUGGAAGAAACCCAUUGGAGACAACUCUCAAGGGAGUUAUGGCUAAGGGAAGGGGAUAAAAAUACAGGUUUUUUCCAUCGUAUGGCAAACGCCCAUCAUAGAAAUAACUCCCUAGAUAGAAUUAAAAUUAAUGGGGUGUGGCUUUCAAAGGAGCAGGAAGUGAGGGAAGGGGUUGCUAAUGCCUACCAGCAAAUGAUCUCUGAAGAUUCUGGUUGGAAGGCGGAUAUUGGGAGGCUUCAAUUAGAACAAAUAAGCCAGCAAGAAGCAGAGAAUCUGGAGAUCCCUUUUUCUGAAACUGAGGUCCAUUCGGCUUUGUUGGAGAUGAAUGGGGACAAAGCCCCUAGGCCGGAUGGCUUUACUAUGGCGUUUUGGCAAAGCUGUUGGGAUUUCGUUAAAGAGGAGAUCUUGGAAAUGUGUAAGGAGUUCCAUGAGCAAAGCUCAUUUCUUAAGAGCCUCAAUAAUACUUUCCUGAUUCUGAUUCCUAAGAAAGGUGGGGCUGAGGAUCUUGGGGAUUUUAAACCCAUUAGCCUUUUAGGGGGGGCUGUAUAAACUACUGGCUAAAGUGUUGGCUAACAGACUCAAGAGAGUGUUAGGUAAAGUGGUAGCCCCAACCCAUAAUGCCUUUAUGUUGGGAAGACAAAUUCUUGAUGCUUCUUUAAUUGCAAAUGAGGUGAUAGACUCGUGGCAGAAAAGAAAAAAGAAAGGGCUCAUAUGCAAAUUGGAUAUUGAGAAAGCGUAUGACAGCAUUAACUGACAGUUCUUGUUGAAGGCCUUACAAAAAAUGGGAUUUGGAUCAAAGUGGUUGGGUUGGAUGUGGAGUUGUUUAUCCUGAGCCAAGUUCUCAAUCCUAGUUAAUGGGAUGCCAACUGGCUUUUUCCCAAGUACUAAGGUGCUAUGCCAAGGAGAUCCCCUAUCUCCUUACCUCUUUGUUUUGGGGAUGGAAGUGUUAGAUGCUCUUAUUAGGAGGGUUGUUGCUUGGGGUUUCCUUUUAGGGUGUAGUAUUCGGGGUGGUAGAAGGCCCACCCUGAAAAUAUCCCAUUUAUUCUUUGUCGAUGACACAGUUGUGUUCUGUGAGGCUAAUAAAAGCACCUAACUCACUUAAGCUGGAUAUUAUUCUGGUUUGAAGCUGCUUCAGGUCUAAGGAUUAAUUUGGCCAAAAGUGAAAUCAUCUCAAUUGGUGUGGUGGAGGAGAUUGAUGAGCUAGCAGCAGAGUUAGGGUGUAGGGUGGGUUCUUUGCCUUCUCAGUAUCUAGGUCUGCCUUUAGCGGCUCUUAACAAGGCUCAUUCUGUGUGGCAUGGGGUGGAAGAGAGAAUGAGGAGGAGACUUGCGCUGUGGAAACGACAAUAUAUCUCCAAAUGUGGGAGAAUCACUCUCAUAAAGAGCACUUUGGCUAGCAUGCCAAUUUAUCAUGUCUCUCUUCCAGAUGCCUAAGACCGUUGCUAAAAGGUUAGAAAAAGUACAAAGAGAUUUUCUUUGGGGAGGGGGAAACUUGGAAAGGAAAGCUCAUCUAGUUAAUUGGGAAGUGGUUUGUGCGGACAAGAAUAAGGGUGGGCUAGGCUUAAGGAAGCUAGUGCUCUUGAACAAAGCAUUGCUUGGUAAAUGGAUUUGGAGGUUUGCUUCUGAUAAAGAUAAUCUUUGGAAACAAGUGAUAAUGGCGAAAUAUGGGCAAGAAGGCCAUGGGUGGAGGACAAAGAAGGCUAAUGGGGCAUUUGGAGUAGGGGUUUGGAAGGAAAUUUUGAAGGAAACUGAUUGGUGUUGGGAUAACAUGGUGUUCAUAGCUGGGAAGGGUACCAAAAUCAGUUUCUAGACUGAUGUUUGGUGCACUAGUACAGCGCUGUCCCAAAACUUCCCUCAUCUAUUUGCUCUGGCUUUCCAUAGGAAUGCUACAGUGGAGGAGAUGUGGGAUCAAAAUUUUGGUCAAGGGGGUUGGAAUCUAAGAUUUUUGAAGGAUUUUAAUGAUUGGGAGUUGGAUAUGGUAGGGGAACUUGCUCUAUGUUUUGAGGGGUCACAGGGGCUCUUUGGAGGAAGACUCGGUUUUUUGGAAGGGAGGAAAAAAUGGACAGUUUAGGGUCAAAGAAGUGUACAGCUUGUUAGCCAAUCCCAAUGACAUUGCCUUUCCGUCAAGUUGUAUUUGGGUGGAUAAAGUUCCAACCAAGGUUGCGUUCUUUGCCUGGGAGGUUACGUGAGGGAGGGUGCUUACUCUGGAUAGGCUUCAAAAAAGAGGAUGGCAGCUCCCUAAUUGUUGUUUUUUGUGUGGGUGUGAAGAAGAAACUAUAAAUCAUAUUCUUAUACACUGUAUAGUGGUCAAAGUCCUGUGGAAUAUCGUCUUUGGGUUAUCAAGUGUGCAGUGGGUCUUUCCAAAAACUAUAAAGGAGGUUUUAACUAGUUGGAGGGGACCGUUUGUGGGGAAGAAAAGGAAAAAGAUAUGAAAAUUCAUACCGUUGUGUAUUUUUUAGAUAGUUUGGAAGGAGAGGAAUAGACUAGCUUCUAGCUUCUAGGGGGGGUGUGUUAGAUAUUCAAAAACUUAAGAAUUUUUUUGUUUGUAAUUUGUGGAGUUGGGCUAGAUUGUAUAUUGGAGAGGCGUCUCUAUCCCUUAUAGGUUUCAUGGAGUGGUUAGCUUCCAAUUAAGGUGUGGUGAGGCUCUGUUGGCUUUCUUUUUUGUUUGAGAGGUGUUAGUUGCUUUGUAUACCCCGUAUGCUUUGUGCCUUUUCGCCUCUGUUUUAAUGCAAUUUUGUUUUACUUAUCAAAAAAAAAAAUUAUUAUUAUUAUCGAUAGGAAAAUAAACUUUUGAACUAAAGAGUUAACUUCAAUUUAAAUGCAAUAUUUUAUGAAAUUUAACUUUCUAAGACCUAAUGAACUAGAUAAGUUAUUAAAUCUAUACAGAUUUAGCUUUAAGUAUUUGAUCAGAUUUAGAAUGCUAGUGUUGAAAGCUAAAGAUUUAGAAACUAUCACAUGAGCAAUGAACUUUUGAUUGCAGUUCUAGAACGUGUUAAGUAAGACUUAAUACAUCUUUUUGUUUCGUUAAGACUUCUGAGGAAGUGCCUAUAAAAUUUCAUAAAUCCUGGAGAACAAAAUCCUCUUUUCAGGAUGUUUCGAAGUCCAGGGCUGUUAUCAGCUCAUUUUACAUGAAACACACCUCAGACUUUGACAAAAAUAUCACAUAAUUAAGACCACCAUUUUCUUUUCCAUUUAAAAUGUGUAUCUCGCGCCUGUUCCCUUAACACAGAAACUGAUAGAUCAGCAUCCCGCAAAGUUUAAGUUAACUUUUUUGUAUAGAUGGUCAGUACUAAUUUUGAGAAUAUUACAACCCUAAUCUGACCUCUUUGAGCAUUAAGAUAACAAUUUUUCAGUUUUUUAAUCUUCAAAAAUAGGAAACCAAUAGCGGAAAAAAAAAAAGCUCAAUCCAGGCACUCAAAUAUGAAAUAUUGCUCUUUCAUUUAUCUCACCUGAUAAAGUAAGCUUCCAGUGCUGACAGCCACAAGAUUAUGGGCCACUGUAAAUUCCAGAUCAUAGCUGUAUGGAGAAUGUAAUAACUAACAUAAAUUCAUAGUAGAUAUCAUAAAUGGUCAAAGUUACGAAGUACAAAUCAUUAGGGCAUAAUCAAACAGUUAGUACCAGCAACACUGUGAAGUAUCAUCCAUACAAGGGAACCAACAGCGUGCACGCCUAAUCUGGUUAUCAGUGUGUAGCACAUUAUCCUCAAAAUGAAUCCCUGUCUCUGCCCUCUCCACCCAAUAGUCAACACGAACCAAUUUCACAUUCUGCACCCAACAUCAACCUACAUGAGAAACCAAAAAGAGAAGUGUAAACCUCAUCACAACAAUUCACAUUGUCCAAAUUAUAUUAUUAACCGAAUUGUGUUAGUUUAGGAGAGGAGAAAAAAUAAUAAUGGUUCAACCAAAAAUACAGCAGAUUCAGUGCCCAGGGUAAAAUUUUAAGUUUUGAAGAAGAGACAAAUGUAAUAACAGUACAACCUAUAAUAUCAGCUGUACCCUAUUCUGGUUAAAUGCUAACUAUAAAUAAGAAUAAGAUGAAAGCAAAGCAUGUUUGGAACCAAACUUUUUAUUAUGGAGAUGAAAUAGAGGACACACAAAGGAGCAGUCAUAGAAAAUCCUAACAGACACAACAAAGAUGCAGCAUGAACGCUGGUGUGUAUAUGGAAGGCAAAACACAUUUUUUUAUUAUUUUUUGCCUCCACAAACUAUUCUAAACUCUUUUUCUGGAAAAAGGAUAAGACUGCAAGUCACAUUUGACAAGGCUGCUGCAAUGUUUUGAAGCUGUUCUGCUUUGAAUAUAAAUAUGGAGACAGCAAACUAAUUUCAAUGAGGUUGGUGGAGAAGGUGGGGGUAGUUUGCCUCCAGAUUUUUUAUGCACAGGAGGACAACUGCUGAUCAGAUUUGGCUCUUCUUUUGGGUGCCUCUUUUAAAAGCUUGCUUUAGGAUUAGUACUGUGCUUUUUUUUCCCCUUUUUUGGAUGGGCAAUAAGAAUUUUAUUGAAAAGAACCUAACAAAAAGGGAUGCAUCUUGUGUAUGCAUGAAGUAUACAUCGAGUAUGUAAGGCACCAAUGUCUUAAUCCCUGCCUAAAAUGAUUCAAACACAUUAGAUCAAAAAAGCAAAAGAUAUCCAAAAAGAAUUUCAGUGUCACUUCCGAGUUCACCACACCCUCAAGAUGUCCAUGUCAGUCUAAAAACUACCUCCUGAUUAAGGGAGGUGACACACAUGACACUCAAAAAUAAGAGAGCACCAAGAAUCAUAAGGCCCAUGCCACCUUACAAUGUAUGAAAGUAUAGCUAGCUAAUUCCUCAUCUUGAUUGCAAAGGAACGCCAAGUCACAAAAAUCUGAUCCCAUCCUUAAGUUGAUCCUAAGUAAGAAUUUUCUCACAAGCAAUAAAAUUGACUCUAGAUGGCAACCAAGGAACCUAAACCCCCUUGGCAGGAAAAGAGACUUGCUCCCUCAAAUUCAAAAGGCUAUAAAGAGGUUGAAACAAACAAAAACAAAAAAAAGAAAUGUUGUUUCUACUGACACCCAUCCAAGCUAUUAGUACAACCACCACAAACUAAAUGCUCUAAAAAAAAAAAGCUUGCAACAUUUGCAAAGCCCAAUCUAGAAAUUGCUCCAAAAAUUAGGGGUCAACUACCUUGAUCACAGUCCCCCGCUACCAAAAAUCAUCUACCCAGCUACCUAACCAUAAAAAAUAAUCAAAUAAUAAAAUAGAAAAAAGUAAUACCAAAUAAAUGGAAACGAUUCCUCCAUUAGGUAAACCUUAUAUCAAGUGUCAAACUAAAACAUCAUCUCAAGAUCUAUAUUAACAACAAUAACACUUGUACAAGCUUGAAAAGCUUCCCAGCCUUUUCAACUGGCUUUACAGUGACCAACCCCAUACCCUCUCUGGCUUCCUUAAGAUUUGAAUCCUUGCAACUAUCCAAAUUUGCUUUGGAUAACCUUUUUCUAUAAAAAUAUCUUUCCUUGCAUUUUUUUGAAACCAUUUGCCUAGUAAAGUCAUUCAGCAGUUGAGAGGUUUCAAAAAUAUUAGCUUAUAGGAAGAUUUUACAACUUUCUAAGGUCUAGUAAAGUCAUGUUCUCAUUUGUGAUUUAAAGGAAACUGCAGGUUAGAACUAAUAGCAUUCAAAAAGAGUUUUUAAGGGAAAGCAAGUCACAUAAUAAAGAGGUCCACUUGAUUGGGUGAAGUGUGGUGUGCUCUAAGAGAAGUGGAUGAGAGUUAGCCAUUAGAAGUCUUUUAAAUGUUCAAUAAAGAGAAUAGUUUGUAGAGGAGAGUCAAGAGAGAUUACAGAGAAUUGGUGUUCUAGGCUAGUUGAAGUCUUUAGAAAGUCAUUAUAGCAAAGAAUGGGGUGUCUCUACAGAGAGAAUUAGCAUUUCAAUUGGUAAUGACUUAUGAAGACAUGUGAUGUAUAAAAACAUUUGAAGGAGUGGACGAAGCUUUUUUUAUUAGGAGGUGGAGAUGGUUUUUUUUAUAGGUAAGUGAAGUAUAUUGUAGACAGCACCAAAGAAACAAGGAACCAAAGGUACAUAACAUAAACACAAAGUGAAACAAAAGGAAAGCCAAAAAGAGAGAACACAAAAAACAACUCCCACCCUCAAUAGGAACUCAACCGGUGCCCUCAUCUAUAUACAAUCUAACCCAUACUAAAAGAUUACUCAAAAAAUAAAAAAUCAUUUCAUCAUUUGAUUAGACUACUCAUUUUCAUGUUAUUUUCAAUUUCUUCCUUCCAAAUCAUUCAAAAAAUACACAAAUAAGCAGCCCUCCAAACCUUCUUACGCUUCUUUCCCCAAUAAGAAAAAUCAAAACAUUAAGCCAACUAAAAGAGUCAUUAGCCAUAGAAGGCAGCACCCAAACUACACCAAACAAAGAGAAAAACAAUUGCCAUACAACCUUUGUUUUUGCACCAAGUAGAAUGGGAUUAACUGAUUCUUCCUCUCCUUUAUAGAGAAAAACAUUUAUUGACCCUCCAAAGUUGAUUUAGCCUCAACACCUUUUCCUAACAAGCUUUCCAAGAGAAAAACAAUAAAAAUAAAAUAAAAAAAAAGCUCACUUUACAUGAAACCCAUGAAUCCAAAAAUACUCCAAUUAGAAAAGGAACGGGUAUCCCCAGCUCCAAAUAUUAUAGUUUUGAACUCAACCACCAUCCGAGUCAACUCUAUUAUGAUUAAUUGGUACAAAAAGCCUCCACAAAAGGCAUUUUCUUUGUAAGACCCUACUACAAGCCUUAAUUCUCAAAUUUUGCCUUGUUUUUUCCAACCAAGGAGAUGUGGGCUUCCUAGAUGUCUCCAAUGUCAAUAUCUUCCACUUGGAGCCAACUAGGAGGAAAAUUCAAAUAUUUAAUCAUCUAAUUCAAAGGUGAUGGACAAUGGUAAAUAAGUGGUGGCUCUCCAAUCAUUAAGAGAAAUCCACUAUAUUUACCAUUGUCUCUCCAAUCAUAAUGAGAAAUCCACUAACAAUAUAAUCAUUCAUUGCAAGUUGUUCGAUUUAUGGUCUUUGAAGUUCUCCUUGUUUGGGUGGCUUGGGUCCUUGCUCAAAAGAUCAAACAUGUUCUUUAUGGGUUAAUAACAGUUUUGUGGAUCAAAUUUGAAAGAUAACAUAGAAAAUGAUCGUUUUAUGCUUAUUCUAGAAAUAGAAGAAGUUUGUCAGGUUUGAAGCACAAAAUGCUAGAAUUGAAAUAAUACAAAAGGAUUCUAGAAAUGUGUGUGCGUGACAUACACAAGUAGUCGAUCAUAAGGCUAGGGUUGGCUAUUCCUCAAGGCUUUGUUUAUUUAACCAUUUAUCUUAGUUACAGACGCUUUUCACAUAUCCUAGAUGAGCUUCAUUUGGGGGACCUCCCCCUAGCUAGUGGGCUUUUUACAUGGAGUGAUGGAUUGAAUAAUCAGUCCUCAUCUAGGCUGGACGGCUUCCUUAUUUUAGAAGAAUAGGAGAUCAUUUCUCUUACCUGACCCAGAAUAUUUGGCCAAGACUUAUAUCCAAUCAUGAUCCCAUUUUUUUAGAUAAAGGAAGGAUGAAAAGGGGUAAUAUGCCCUUUAGGUUUGAAAUAUGUGGCCGAAAGCAGAAGGGUUCAAAGACUUGGUGAGAAAUUGGUGAGUGAGCUACAAUGUUAAGGAUUCAUACGUUCAUACCUUAGCAGCCAAGCUAAAAGCUCUAAAACAAGCUCUACAAGCUUAGAAUAGAUAGGUGUUCAGGAAUGUUACCACCAAUAAAAUUGUUGCUCUAAAUCAGAUUGGUUUCUAGGAUGUAAGGAAAGGGAAGAUGUUCUUUCAACUAAAGGAAAAUAAGGCUAGAGGGAGGUAGUAGAGGAGUUUAAAAAGUUGCCAGCAAGGGAAGAAGUUUUAUGGAGACAAAAAUCAAGAAUUGUGGCCAAAAAGGAAGAUAAAAAUACUAAUCUUUUCAUAAAAUGGUCAAUGCUCAUAAAAAAAAAAAUUACUUGACUAUAAUAAUGAGGAAUGGAGAAACAUUAUCUAAUCAAAUAGACAUUAAGAAGGGGGUGGCAAAUGUUUUCCAUAAGAACUAAAAUAAUGAUAAAUGGUGCCUAUCAAAAAAACAAAUUAAUCAUAAAUGGAGAAAUUUUAUCCGAUUAUAUAGACAUUAAGGAAAAUGUGGCAAAUGUUUUCCACAGGAUUCUUUCUGAGCUGGAGGUGUGGAGACCAAAUAUCAAUAGAAUGACUUUGGAACCUUAGAGCGAAGAAAGAACCAAUGCUCCUAGAGAUAUCAUUUUCCAAGAAGAAGGUCAUUUCAACCUUUUCUGGUUUGUGUGAGGAUAAAGACCCUAGACUAAAUGGCUUCUCCAGGGCCUUUUGGCAAUUUUGUUAGGACUUUUGAAGAGUAAGGCCAUGGUUUUUUUGUGGAAUUCUACAAACUAUGCUUUUUUUAAGGAAGUUUAAAUGUCACUUUUAUAGUCUUAGUCCCAAAAAAAUGGGCAAAAAAUUUGAAAGACUUUAGACCAAUCAAUUUGGUGGGCAGGGGAUAAACAAGAUUUUAGCAAAAGUCUUAACUAACUUGAAAAAGUGGUAGGAAAAAUGAUUUUUUGAUAGGAAACAACAAUUAUAUGUAUUGAUAGAAAAAGAAUUACAAAAGAAAGAUAAAGAAUCAUCCUUCCAAAGAUAAAACUAAACAACGCACUAAAAGAACAAGAAACUACACUAUGAAAACUACUAGCAAACUCUCUUGGCUAGACCAUCCUGUUGGAACUACACACUACUAGCCAAUCUAGUUGUAAAACGUUAAGGGGAAUGCCCUUAAAAACCACAGAACAAAAAGCCCAAAGAAAAGCAAGGAAAUGAAUGGAAUCCCAAAGAUUCUCUAAAUUCCUAGCUAUGUCCUCAAAUAUCCUAGCAUUUCUUUCUCGCCACACAACCCAAAUUAAAGCAAUGCACGCAUUUUGCCACAGAACUAUCCCUCUCUUGGAAGUGCCAAAACCUUUAUAAUUGAUGGACAUCAUGUCUGAAAUACUUCUCAGAGGAACCCAAUCCAUCUUGGCUAGCUGAAAUAAUCUGUGCCACAACCCCAUUGUCAAAUAACAAGGUAGGAAGAAAAAAUGAUUUUAGAUUCCCAACAUACAUUUGUGGAAAGUAAACAAAUUUUAGAUGUGACCCUCAUAGCUAAUGAAGUCAUUGACUAAAAGCCAAGAAAACUGCAUCACCGCUAAUGGGGUUAUAUGUAAGUAGGACAUUAAGAAGACAUAUGAUCAUAUUAAUUUAGGUUUUUUCCUAACAAUCAUGGAAAAAUGGGAUUUGAUUCCAAGUGAAUAAGAUGGAUUAAGUGGUGUAGCUCUACAACUUGUUUCUCCAUUUUGAUUAACGGGACUUCCAUGGGAUUCUAGAAUCUUAAGACGAGGGGAUCCUCUAUCCCUAUCUCUCUUUCACGUGACCAUGGAGGCACCCUCCCACAUAAAAAAGGCCGCUAAGGAAAGGGACUUCAUAGCAGGGUUCUCAAUUACUAGAAGAGCGGUGGGGAUUCGAAGUGUCAUAUCUGUUAUUUGCUUGUGACACUUAAUGCCACGAAGGAGCUUAGGGAGCAUUUGAGUCAAGCAUUCAUAUGGCUUGAGGCAAUCCAAGGUUUAAAGAUCAUUGUGGAAAAAAAAAUGAGUUGAUCCCAGUAAAGGGGUUGCCAAUAUGAAGGGACUAGAAAGGGGGGUUAGGAUGUAAAGCGGGUACCCUCCCCACCAACUAUUUAGGCCUUCCACUUCAAAUUAUCUCAAGUUUGGAAUGUUGUACACUUAUUCUAGCUUGUCAAUUUACUUUAUAACAUUAUUUGUCAUCCUGAAAAAGAUGAACUCAACAUUGGAAAAGAUAUAAAAGGGAUUUUCUUUAGGGAAUUUUCUUUAGCAGGGGGAGGCUCUUGAAAGGAAGCUAUAUACAGUGAAUUAGUGGACAGUUUGCAUGGAUAAGAAGACCAAGUUUGGGUUCUAAAAUUUUGCCCAAGCUUAACAAGGCUCUUCUCAACAAAUGGUGCUAGAAAUUGCAAUUUAAAGGGAAUCCCUUUGAAAGUAGAUGUUACAAGGAAGUAUGGAUAUGAAGAGGGGGGAAGGUGUUCUAAAGAAGUGAGGGAACGGUAUGCAUUGGGUGUGUCAAAGGCAACCACAAAUGAGAGGAAGAUCUUUAAUAGUAGAACUGGUUUUAGGAUAGGCAAUGGGAGAAAGAUGAAAUUUUGAAAGAAUGGGUGGUGUAGUGACAUACACCUAAGAGAGGCAUUUACAAAAUUAUUCACCUUAGCCACCGCUAAAGAUUCAUGGGCAGCUAUUAUCAUUAAUAUAAUAUAUAUUUUGUUUCUGAUCAAACAAAAAAAAAAAUGCAUGGGUAGAUGAAGCAUGGAGCAAGAUGGAGACGAGGAAGCAAGGUUGUUAUAACCCCAAGUUAGGCUCAUGAUUGAGAGCUAGAGGGUGUGGAGGCCUUUUUAGGAGAUUGCAAACAAAGACAGUUAGUGAUAAUAUAAAGGAUAAAAUGGUUUACUUAAACUCAAAGAGUGGCAUUUUUUUAGUUUUAAUAUUUGUAUUCCUUUUUAUCAAAUGGAAGAAUGAAGGCAUUCCCUUCUAGUACUGUUUAUAAUUCUUUAGUACUAUUAGGGUCAGUUUUUUCACAUAGGAAGCUAUGUGGGGUAGGAUACUAACAUUGGAUCAAUUCAAAGUGAGGAGCUUGAAGAUAUUGAACAAAUGAUAUAAGUGCAAAGGAGAAGAAGAAAUGAUAUAUGGUCUCGUCCUCUUUCACUAUCCUAUGGCAACUAAUUUAUACUUUAUUUGGGUGGGUGAGGCAUUCCUAAAUAAAAGAUGCCUUUUUUAGCCAACAUGGAUCUUUUGUCAAGGAAAAAAAGGAAAAAGAAGUAGUUUGGAGAGUUGUUCCUCCAUGAUUAUUUUGAACCUUGUAAGGGGAGAAGAAUAGAAGAGCAUUUACACAAGAAAAAAAAAAAAGUGGACCCAGCAAUCAAACAAUCUUUUAUGUAAAAUUUCUUAGAGUGGGUUAAACCAUACAUAAGUGAUUGUUCUUUAUCCAUGAUGGACUUUGUUGAGUGGUUAAGCACCUAAUAAGGUGAGGGAGUUGUUUGUUAUGUAUCCCUCUGCCUAGUUUUGACCUUUUGGCACCCUUGUAUACAUCAUCUAUGCUUUUAUGCACCCUUUAGUUAGGCCUUGUUUGUCUAUUAAAAAAAAAAGGGCUCCUUAAAACAACUAGGCGUUGAGCCUUGAGAAAUUGAUGAGUAGAUUCAUAUGUAAAGUAGGAUAUGGACGAUUUUUCAAAUUUCUUUUAACGAUUCAUAUAUCAAUGUGCUUAUGCAAUGACUCAAGGAAAAUUUUAUAGCGCCCACAAUGGAAAAAUUCAAGCUUACAUAUAUGUUUGUAACUCAAUUAAUGCAGCCUGAAAAAUAUAUUACCAUCAUGACACAUGCAAGACAAACCAGAAGAGAACUACAUCCAGAGAUCACAUGGAAAUCAGAGGAUUCUCGGAGCAGCAUGGGAUGUAUCUUGAGUUGAUAGUUUAAUUGUAAAUUCAAAGCGUCUUGGUGCUUUCAUGUUUCGCCUUCAGAAUACUGAUUUUCAUAAGACCUAAUCUUUUAGGGGGAUGCAUCUUAACACGAUAAUCAAAUUCAACAGAAUAGUUUUUCACAUUUUAGGCAUAUCUGAUUACCAAGCAUUGCCUUUUUUGGGAUGCACAAUGUCAAUUUCUAAAUUUCUGUUUUCCCUUUAUCAUAUUUUGUGCAAUGGAUCCUUAUUUGAGUUUUCAACAGGUUCUCAAGCCUAUAUUCCUCAGUUUCACGAAAAUUUUGUUUGUUUUUGUGCCUCUAUAUAUAUGUAGACAUACGUGUAAUCUCUAGAUAUGACCCAAUUGAAUUCAUUAAAUGCAUCACUAAUGAUAAUAACUAUAACCUGCUUGGGUUCACCAGAGGAAUGCAACCCAUUCUCCAAACUCUGUUGACCUUGCUGUUCACUGGCUGACUUUUCAGGUUUACAACACAUGAUCAGUAAGUUUGGAUCCAAUUCUCUCUCAAGAGCUGAAACAUACAUCGAACUUGCAACGUCAGCAGCUGAACUAGCCGAUAAGACCGAGCUCCAUCUUUUCUCACUUUCAGUAUGUUGAUGAUGUGGGUAAAAUUCAAAUUCAGUAGGCUCUCCAUCAACAGACACACUCUCGAUCACUAAAUUUUCAGCAUGUAACCCAACAAUCCCAAUAUCCGGAACAGCAAUUUCCAACUCGGUGUAACUAAAAAACAAAAAAUUCAAACAAGAAUACUCAGAAAAACCUGCCAACAGAAAUGCAAAUAAAUACCAAUGAAUAUGAAUUAAAACUUUCAGAAAAAUUUGUAGUAAUAUAACCCAAUUAAUCAAGCUUUAUGAGCUAAAUGUAAUAAAUUCCUUAAGAAGCAAGUCGACAACCACAUGCACCUAAAACGCUCAAUUAUGGACAAAUCCAAAUCACAUACAGGAACACUAAGUAGAUGCACCGUGAGUUCAUAAUCUCCACCUUGCGCUAACUAUAAAUGGUUUCUGAUAGUGAAUCAAUAUGGAAAACAGAAACAUCAACUAGUUGAGCUGAAUUGCCCAAUUCCCGAAGUCAAAUCUUCACAGGGAUUUGGAUCAGUACAAAAUCUUAAACCACCAAGCACAAAAGCAUAAAAAAUAGGAGAAAUUUAGAGAGAGGAAAACAAACGAAGCUAUGGAAAAUGGAGAAGUGCGAGUGAGGAGCUUGAGACGAACCCGUAAAUCCGCCGCUUGUCGAUAUCGAUAGAAAGGCAGAGCUUUUGGUGACGAACCACGGCUCGAGAAUUGGAAUUCUCGGGCUUCGUGUUGUCGUCGGUCUUCGGCUUGCGAGGCUUCGCCAUGGCUAUGGCUUCUCUUCGAAGAGCUUGUUGUAGCGGGCGACAGGGCUUUAUUUAUAGGCAGCCCUUGCCCUUCGGGGGGACGCUGGACACUGCGUUAGGGGCAGCUAGGGCUCGAUGUGCCCUAAGUUUGUUAUUCCCAUCUCAACCGUACAUCUUUCUGAUACGGUGAUCUGAAGGCUGACGUGAGGUUUUGUUCCACGUGUUAUGUGGAAUCAUUUCCACUGAAUCCCUCCCUGUGAUGAUAUUCCUGUUUUGCCCCGGUAAUAUAUGCUCAACAUGACACGUCACGAAUCCGACGUUUAUGCUGAGGUCGUCUUUUCCCUCGGUAAAUCUCUCCUAAUCGGUAGUUCUUUUCUUUUAAAGGCUAAACCACCUUUAUUAAUAAUUAUUCCUUCAAUACUUCUUCUAUCUUUAAUUCUACCACGAUUAACGGUUUAUCUUUAAAUUUCUGCACCCUCAAAGUUUUAUUUCAAGAAUCAAUCUAUUUAUUAAUUUUAUAGUUUAUUUUAUAAUAAUUAUUUUUAUUUUAAAAUUUAUUUGAUUAUUACUUAUGAAAAAAUUAUUUAUUAUUAAUUCAUUUAAUAUAAAGAAAAACCGAACACUAUAAAUUAUAAGGAGAGAUACGAAAUAAUUGUUAAUUAGGAAAACAAACAUGUAAAUUGUCAAAUCAUAUGCCAAAUUAAUCUAUCAAUUUCUUAAAAGUUUUAAUUUAUGGAUUCGCAUACAUAUCAUAAUACUUAACAAAUAUUAUAUAUCUUUAAAUCUUUUAGAGUCACUUUCAUUGAACAUAUAAAAAGUUUUAAAACAAAAUAGUAACAAUAAUUAAAAUGGCAGCAAUUAUCAAAAUCAAAAUAAUAAAAUUAAAAUCAAUAGAGCAAUUAAAAUAUUUGAAUUUUUUUUUUAUUUACUUAUGAAGACAGGUGAAAUAUGAUAAAAAAAAAAAUAGAAAUAUGAAUAAAGAUUAGGCAAUAAAAAUAAAGUAAAAUCAAAAACAAAUUUAUUUAAACAAGUAGAAGUUGUAUUUAUUUGUUUUCAAAAAAAAAAAAAGAAAAUAUAAAGAAAUAAAGUAAAUAUUAAAAAAAAACCCAUAAGAAAAACAAAUAAAGUAAAAACUUGAUUUUUUUUUCUAUAUUUUUUUUAUAAAAUUAUUAAUUUUAAUUCAUUGAUGAUUUACACCCCUUCUUAUUUGUGUUCAACAUCACAAAUUUGAAAUUACUUACCACUAAAAUCAACUUAAAAAUCACUUGAUAUGUCAAAACCCAAACAACCAUUUGAAAUGAGCAAAAUACAACUCAUCAUUUUUAAAUUUUAUCUUUUAUAAAAUAAUUUUUUUUGAAAUUGAAUCAUUUUCAAUUAAAAAUUAACAUGUUAAAAUAAUAUAUAUGACGAUAUUGCUCUAAAUCAGUAGCGGCUAAAUCUUGCUUAUUAGGAAUAGGGUAUGUUAUCCAUUGUAAUGCUUUAUUUAAAGGUUUAUAAUUAAUGAUUAAUCUUGGUGCUCCAAAGGUCAAUAAAAUUUGCUGACAAAUUUCCUGAUGAAAUAAAAGAUAAAAAACAAUUGUAAAGAUUUCUAAGUUGUUUAAAUUAUGUUUCUGAUUACUUCAAAGAUUUGAGAAUCAUUUGUGAACCCUUAUACAAAAGACUUAUAAAAAAUGCAUCUGCAUAGACUGAGCAUCAUACUAGUUUGGUCGAAAAACGAGUUUUCAAAUGAUCAUUUGAAUUGAAGUUGACUCAUUGAGGAAAGAUGUAAGAAAUAAGGAAUUUCUUCAUAAUUGAACUCUGGCUCAAUGAAAGCAAUUUCUAAGGUUUUAGGUUUUUUGACAUAUUGGUUAUAAGAAAAUGAAGGAGAAGGAGAAGGUAAUGUUUAAAUAGUGUUAGGGCUAGAUUGUUUCUGAACAUCAAUAUUUUUAGGGGUUGAUUUAGAAGCUUGAAUAAAGCUUUUUGAAGGUUGAAAAUGAGGAAAAUCUGGACUCAAAACUUGAAAGGAAUUUGAUGUUUGUAAUGGAAAAGUAUAUAUAUUAUUUUAUUAUUUGCAAUCAUGAUAAUACGGAUUUAACAGGUCUUUAGUGUCUUUUAUUAUGAUGUAUUUUAUUAAGAGUGUGUUAGGUAAUGGUUUUAGAAAGUGCUUUUAAUUUAAAAAAUAUAUUUGGGAAAAAGUGAAAUGUUUGGUAAAAUUUAGAAAAUUAUUUUUAAAUUUUAAAAAAUCAUUUACAAUAUUGAAAAAUCAAUUAUAAUGUUUUUUGAAUGAAUAUUUGAUAAAUAAUUUAUAUAUAUAUAUUAAGAGAAAAUACUUCUACUAACGAGACUCUGUGUAUAAAAACUAUAAAUAAUUAAAAAAGAAAAAAAAACACACUUUAAAGGUGUGUUUAACAGUGCUUCUGGUGUUUUUAGUAAAAAUGUUUUGAGGAAAAUCAUAUAUCAAGCAUUUGUUCAUAAAACAAUACAAGUGAUUUUGUAAUAUUCUAAACGAUUAAAAGAGUACGUUUGAUAGUAAUUUUAUGAAGUGUUUUUAACAUUUUUAACACUUAAAAGAUAAAAAAUUUAUAAUGUUAAAAAUAUUAUAAACGCUUCCAAAAUCAUUGUCAAACGCACUUUUAUUAGAUUUUAAAAAAUGUUUUUUUUAAUUUUACUAAACACUUGUUUUUUUUAUUUUCAAGAACAUUUUUCAAAAUCACUAGAGUGUGUAUGGUAGUAUUUUUUGAUUUGAAAUUUUUUUAAUAGAAGUGUGUUUAUUUAUAAAUGUUUUUAGAAAAAUUACCUAUAAAGUGUUUCUUCAUAAAAUACGUGAUUUUUUUUUAAAUUAUAAGUGAUUUUUCAUAUUUUAAAAAUAUUUUUUAAUUUUUUGUCGAACAUCCUUUUUUUUUUUUUUUUUUUUUUUUUUCUAAAAACACUUUUUAAGUUAAAAACACUCCAUAAAAUCACUAUAAAAAAAUGCUUUAAUUAUUAAAGAAUCUUAUAGAGCAUAUAAACAUCGCACGGAUCCACUAAUUAAAGGUUUAUCUAUAUGUUUCAAGAGCAAUUGUCCCACAUCGGUUUAUUAAAACCCGGGAAAUUAUUGUAUCAUAUGUAUUGUGUAUAUAUUACAUACAUGUGAUGGAUCACUUGAUGUGUGCACAUCCUUUUUAUUUAAAUGAUGACGACGUGUGAAUUUGAGAGAUUUUGCGUGCCCUUUAUGCCUAGUCAUUCCAUAGAACACUUGCCCCCAUUGCCUCGCCUUUUCUAGCCUCUUCUUCUUGCUUGCUCACUUUGCUCUUGUCUUAGUGAUCGAGUAUUUGUGUAUGAUUAUACAGUACAAGUGGGAGAAUUGUUGGAAUUUUUGUGUAUGCACUUGCAUGAUUACAUAACAAUUCACUCAACGGUCAAAAUUAUUUUUAUUGGGUGACGGAUUGUGGGCCAUAAACACUGCAUGAAGGUCGUGGGCUCACACUUCUAUAUAUUGAAACCUUACCUAGCCCAUUGGGUUAAGGGAAGCCCGGCCCGGUAGUUUAUCAUGUUGGUUAUAAUCAAUAGACACCAAUGGGUGUGAGUGCUAUUGAUAUGACACAACAUUGAAUCUUGAAAAAGGAAUAUUCUCCCAGUUAGCUGGGCAUAUGGGAUUUCUUGUUCCAGAAAUUGAGCAAAGUUCUACCAUCAAAGUGGAUUGUCAGCCUGGCAUUUAGUAGUCCAAACAUGAUGAAGAUAAGGGAGAUGAUGAUGAUGAUGAUGGUUUUGAAUGGGAAGAGGCUCCCAACUGCAGGUACACAUCAAUGAUAUUUGUUAACCUACUUUCAUUUUCUCAACUUAAAUUUUGAAAAUCUGCAGAAUCUCCCUUUGGUAAUCAAAUAGUGAUAAAAUUUAAGUAAUUUCUUGAACUCCUCAAAUUUCCUUAAUAAUAAGGAAAAAAAUUGCUUGUUUAUUAAGUUAGCCAAUUGAAAUAAGUAUUUUGUGGAAUUUGACUCAGAAAUGUGGUUUCUCACUACAUUUCCUUGAAUUAAGUAGUUUUCUUGAUUUUCAAUUGCCUACCAUAUUGCCUUUCUUGGUGGUUAAGCGUGUCAUUGCCCAACAUUGCAUGAAAUACAAGUGAAAGUUUCUAGAUCACCACUCAAAAUUUCAAGCUGAUGCUUGAGGGAAAGACGAUAGGAUGAUAUAUACAUAGACCGGGAAGAGAGUUAAGUAGUAAAAUAUUUCUUAACUCUAUGAAAUUUAUCCUAACAGUUUUUCUCAUGAUCCGUUAGGACAUUGAGUUUUGUUUGUAAUUAUUGACAAUUUUAUUCCUAUUCAUAUUGGCUUAAGAAAUUUUUUAGAUAGUGAAUUACUUUUCAAUGAAGAUUUAAUAUUGUUAUUGGUUUAAUCAGAAAGUCAUAAGUAAGUCUAAAAAGGUUUGUUAAGUGGCAAGUUAGGUGAUUAAAGGGUUAAAAUAAAUCGAUUGAUAAUUUUUCUAUGAACUUAAAUUGCUUAAAUCAAUGUUUUGAAAAAAUGGAUAAUGCUCAAGCGUUUAUCUAACACUUAAGCACUUGAGACACUCGAGUGGUAGUUAAGUGCACUUGAGUAAUUGUUUAGAAUCAAUCAGAAUAUUAUAGAAUUCGUUUUUGAAAUCACGAGUAUUCUUUUUGGUAAUUUCUAAAUACCGAUUUUCUAAGUCUGUAGGCCUAUAUAAACCAUCUUUUAAUCAAUUUAGAAUUGGACAUAUUAUUCCAAAUUCUUUCAAAGAUACAAUAUUUGAAUUUUGGGUUGUUAGAAGACUUGCAUUCCUUCAACAAAGCUGGGGAUAAUUCAUUAAAGUGGUUGGAUAUUGUUGCAUUACAUACGUGGAUCAAGUUGUAAGUUAUAAAAAGUAAGUUUUAGAAGUAAAUUAUUAGGUAAUUCUAUAUAACAAGAUUUCACAUAGUAAAUUUUAGAUUAGAAAUUUUAAACCCAUGGUUUUUUAUCUCCAUAAGGGAAGUUUUUCGCGUAAAAAAAAUUAUCUGUCCUUUGUGCAAUUGUUUCUUGCAUUGAUUAUUCAUAUUGUCUCCCAGGUUUAAAUUAAUUUAAAAUGGAUUAAAUUAAUCUCAUAAUUAAUUGUUUGGGUACAAGAAUUAAUUAAUAUUCUAAUUUUUUUAAAAUACACCCAUUCACCUCAUCUCGGUGUCUUUGUUUUUCCAUGAUCUUUUAUCAGUCAUGCUGAUAUAUCAUUGGAAGAUCUUGAACCCUUACAAAAUACCAAUUUUUGUGUUUGUUUUGGUUACAUACAGAAAAUUUCUGCAUUAAUGCAUUUAGUUGAAGAUUGCAGGUCUUUUCCCAUGAUUGAGAUUUAAGCCCAUGGGCAUAAGUUUCUUGAAUGUAGUCAGUAAGUAGGCAGGUGAUACGACUAGGAGGGUUGAUUAUGUCGGUGGAUUAUAGUGUUGAAUCCAUUGUAUUUGGUAGGUUAUAGUCAAAAGAUGACAUUAUUCAGCAGGUUCAAUCAACCUCAUUAGUCGCCAUGAUAAACAUAUACUUGAAUCAAUACCAUAUAUAUACCAACUGGGUCUUGGUUAAUUUGUAUGCAGAAAUAGAAAAAUAACAUAAAAUUACCCAAUCAGAUCCUUCCCAUUCUUGUAAGGAUGUAAGAAGGAACCCUCACCUCCCCAUCUGUGGUUGAUCCUCAGCUGCGUGUGGGUGCCCAUGUGUGCUUGUUCAUGCGUGAGAAAAAAGCGCACAUUUGACUUUUUUUGGCGAGCAUCAUUUUCUAAAGGGGCGCCCACCAACUGUCUUGACAUUUUUUCCAAAGGGUGGUUAGAGAAAUAGGAUCCCAAUUGUCUGAUGGUCAAUAUGAUCCCCAUCGUGAUAAGGAAAAAAAAAAGGGGGGGGCCUCAAUGGUGGGCCAACUCACACUUCCAUAUCAUAAGAUGAGUCAUGUGUGGGGGAAAGUAGUUCACCUUCUCUCUCUCGAUUUCGUCCCAGGCCCCAUCUCUCCAUUGUGGGCCAACUCACACUUCCAAAAACAAGAAGCCUCUUUGUUACACAUAUAUAAGAAAGGUGUUAAUGCUUGUUUCAUCUCCUUUAGUUGUUUUGGUCAUCUCUACAUAUCAUUGAGUGUUUGACAUUCUGCUUUUAAUGGCCCUUUUGUUCCUUGAAGGCUAAGAAAGUUGCUUUGGAACAAUGGUCGACAGUCUUGGAGCUCCCUCUCAGUCUCCGCAUGUACUAAUAUUUAAAAAACAGUUCCUGAACAUGAAGCCAAAACACUCUCCAAUGUCAACCUUAGAGUUACAUUUCUUAUACCACUAGCCUAGCUACCACAUUCAAGCUGUCAAAGCUUUUACAAAAACCCCACUCUAUCUCCAUCUUCUCUCGAGCUAUCUCUCUCCCCCCGUUUCUUCUCCUCCAUGCUCCCUCUUCUCUUCCAUUUUCUCUCCCAUCCAUGGCUCCCAAGCUCACCCCACAAUCAUUAAGUAUCAUCCUGUGCCUCUCUCUCCUCCUCCUCUUCUUUCUUGGACUGGGUAGCUUCAUUUCCAUUAAACCCACCAGAAACAGCAUCUCCCAUAGCAUCAACAGAAAAGUACUGGCCACCAAGUUCGACUUCACAGCAUUUCAUGGAGAGUCCCAUUCAAGGCACCUCCCUCCGCAACCAGACCCGGCUGAUUCCGAGAUCGAUCCCCUCUAUGGUGUCGAGAAGCGCAAGGUCCCAACCGGCCCCAAUCCCUUGCACCAUUGACAGGUUUCUCGCAUCAACAUAUAUGCGCUAGCUACCUUCUUCUCUCUUCAUGUAAUAUUCUUAUUGUUGUAAUAACAAUUUUCUCAUAAAACAAACAAAAAAAAAAAAAAACCAGAAACCACAGAUCUCUACCGAGAUUUCUUCCAUGAUCACUUCCAUGAUCUUACAAUUUUCAAAUCAAUACACCCCAUUUGUAUCAAAUGAUUCAAAUCUGAAUGUGUUCAUGCUUUUUUUUUUUUCUUUUUAAUUGUAUUCUGACAAGUAUAUUAUAAAUACGAGCAUGUAAGUAUUUGUAUUUUUUUAUGUGAUGAAUAUAGUUGUAUUUGGAGGACAAUUGGAAUGGGAAAAUGAAAUUAAGAUCUACAGUUAUAAAAUAAAGUUUACAAUUGGAAUGGGUAUGAUGAUAGGAAGUUUGAAAAUUUUUUGGAUGGAUCAUUAUUUUAUACUGGGGCUGACUUAUGGGGUAUCUCAUAUCUAUAAUAAUAUUAUUAUGGUAGGUUUAGUGGGGUUAGGGAUAAGAGUUGGAAGAGUGAACGUGUAGGGCUGUUGAGAGCUGACCCAAUAGGCAUACACCAAGUGCCUAGAAUGGUUGACUUUGGUUCAUGUUGGGUCUGUGUAUAGUAAAUUAGAAAUGGAAUGGUCACAUGCGUUUGGAAGUGGGAUUUUAUUUCAAUAUUUUUUGUGUUUGAACUUUGAUGAGCAUCUUGCUGUGUGAAUUGCUCAAAACCCAAAAGUCAAAACUGCUGUGAAGCAAUUAUUGAGUUGAAGGAGGAUCAUGGCAAGUGGCGAUGCCACUUGAACGUGGGUGAUUCUUUCUUUCAUGAAACCAUCAUGCCCAUUUCGCAGCCAAAAUCAGAGAAGCAGAGAGAGAGAGAGAGAGAGGGAGGGAGGGAGAGAGUGGCGAUGCCACUUGAACGUGGGCGAUUCUUUCUUUUCGUAGCCAAAAUCAGAGAUGCAGAGAGAGAGAGAGAGAGAGAGAGAGGGAGGGAGGGAGGGAGGGAGAGCGAGAGAGGGAAUGAUUAAUUUGUUUGAUGGGUGGAUGAUAGAUGUCUAUGGAUGGAUUAUAAUUUUUGAAAGGUAUUUCUGUAUAAUUCACAACUACAAGAAAUAAUAAUUUCUGAUUUUCAUAUUUUUUUAAUUAUAAAAUUUUUGAACAAAAUUAAUCUAUACCAAAGGUCCGACGUAUUCAGGUCUAAUACGUUGUUGUAUAUUUCUCUUUCUUUCCACACGAUUGCUAGUACACUUAUUAUGAUUCCCAAUACAAUAAUAAAAAUAGGUACAGAAAAAAGAAUUGAUAUCUUGUACUUUUGGUGUAUUAAUUAUCAUUUCAAUGAUCAACUUCUCUUAUAAUUAUAUUUAUGCUACCGAGUAUCGUCAUAACUUUAGCCAAUUUCAUUAUUUUAACUAAUUAAGGAAGAAUUUGUAAAUUGAUAAAACCUGACGGUCAAAUUUUCCAUCUCCAAGGAAAAACACUUUGACCUCCUAUCAGAAAAAUUUCAAUUCUCCCUUUGGGGCUUCAACUCUCACAUAAAGUUCUUAAAAAAUAAUUUUUGAUGUCUUAUCACAAUAUUAUUGUUACAAAGUAUAAGAUAACAAAAUUACAAAAUUCUAAAAAAAAAUUAUUAGUCUAUUGUGAACAUUGUGACAAAAUUAAAUAAAUAAAAAGUAUCUAAAAAAUAUAUUGAUAUUUUAUAGCUAAGAAAUUUAGAAAAAAUUAUAAAUUUGCAAUAACAAAACAUUUCAUCCGAUUUAUUUUUUUAAAAAAAACUUCAAAAAUUUUCAAUAAUCUUACAUGUCCAAAACUUCAAGAUUUCAAAAGGUACAAAGAUUGCUUUUAUAGGUCUAGCUCUUUCUCCAAAUCUUAAAUUAAAGAGUUAGAUGAAAAGGAGAAACAAGAUGGGAAAAAAGAGUUACAAAAAUUUUGUUCAUAUGAUACGAUAUCUUAGUAGUCCAUUCAAAAGGAAAAAAAAAUAAACAAAAUAAUAUAAAAAGUCAAAAGUCUUCCCAUGAAGCAAAAUUCCAAAACAAAAAUAUAAAAAAAUAGUAAUAAAUCAAAAUCUUCUAACAAAACAACGACUUUAAAAAAGACUCCAAAAUGUAGAAAAAUAGGAUAUUAUUCAAAAGACUAUUAAUUAGAAAAUAAAAUCAAUUAUUUGGAAAUAAGUGACAGACUCAAAACUUGAAUGAUUAAUAAAUAAUAAGAUGAAAUUAAGUAUUUUAAAUAAAAAAUUCAAAUAUUAAUAACUCAACAAAUAUCACGUGAAAAGUCAAAUCAAGAUGAAUCGGAUAAUAAAAAAAUAUAUGAUGAAAUUUGUGCAUACUUCUAUAAAACAAUAAAUUUGAUUCCGAAAUAACUAAAUUAUUUAUAAUAUCUAAUAAGUAAUUUUUCAACCUUUAUAAUAUGAAUUUGAUACAAAUUAAAUUAUUUAAUAAUUAUACUAAUUAACCCAAUUAUAAUUUUAAAGCUCAUUUUUUAAUAAAUAUAUUAAUUCAAUCAUCGAUAUGUUUGAUUUUGACUUUAAUCAUAUAAACUUAUACAAGGUCUAAUUCAACCCGAUUAUUAAAUGGAUUAAAUAAGUUACACGAAAUAUUACUUAUUUAAUAAUUAAGAUGUUAAUAUUUAUAUUCUGAUUAUUAUUCGUAUCAUAUUUUGAUUGAUCUAUUUAGUAGAAUGUUUAGGCUUUGAUACGAUACGAGCAUGACCUACUAACACCAAUUGUCAACCCUAAGAUUAGUAUAUGUUAAUAAAGUUGAGAAAAGUAGAAACUUAGUCACUUAAUUUGUAUGCUAAAAAAUGCUUUAAAUUAUUAGGACAACAAAAUCACUAUCAAUGUAUAGGAUGAGUAUGAUUACAUGAGGACGCCGCUGGACUCGACGUAGCCCACUAAGAUCAAUCCUGAAUAGGCCAAGCCCAUAAUGGAGAAUGACCCACAUUAAUGACAUGACCCAGCUUGAACAGUUAGUUUGGCCCAUUAAACUGAGCCCUUGAUAUGAUUUUCCUCUCCACGUGGGGUGUUGGUUCAAAGGGUACAUUUUGGCUAUUAAACCUCUCAAGUAUUAUUCAAAAUAGCUCAUUUGAUUAAGUAUUAUAUUUUUCUAUUUUUUUUUCCAAUAAAAUUGUUUGAAACCGUAUUUUGAAACCUUAUAACUAUGAUUUUAAUAUAAAUUCUAGAAAUCGGAUUUUGAAACUAUUGCUUUAAUACACAUUUAGAAAUCACAUUUUGAAAUUGCGGUUUCUAAUUUUGAUAAAAAAAAAACGAUAUUUUUAAAAUUUGACUUCAAAUUAAUUUAAAGAGAAAUUUAAAAAUUAUAUUUUAAAACUAUAAUCUUAAUAUAAAGUUAAAAACUAUAUUUUGAAAUUACGAUUUUGGUAUAUAUUUAGAUACCUCAUUUUGAAACUACCUCAAAGAAAAUUCCAAUAAAAGCUUUUUCAACAAAUAUUUUCAAUGCUUGGGUUGAACUUUCUCAACACAAACUCAAUUGGGGUUGAUUUAGGCAACCCCAGUGUAGUGUAGCCUGAACUCAAUUCAAUGUUUUUACAAUUUUAUAAUAUUUAUUAUCAUGUAUAAUAAUAUUAAUUUUUUUUAUAUAUAUUUUAAAGAAAAAAAUAUCAAUUUAUAAUUAAUUAUAUACUUUUUCUUUUUAAAAAAGGAUAUAUAAAUUUAUUUUUACUUUUUUAUUAUUAUCUUGAAAUUUUGUCUUAUUUAUUAUUUAAAUUUUGGUACAAAUAUGUAGAUAAAAAAAUUCACUAUGAAUGACUUUUAAGUUGUGCAAUCCCAAUAACCCAACCAAUUUGUGUUUAGCUUGACUAACACGAAGUCAACUCGAGUUUAGAAAAAUAAAUUUAGGGCUUUUCUUGAAUAUAUUGAGUUAGAGGUCGGGUUGAGUUGAACUUGGGUUAAUCGUUUCUUAAUUUGGGUUAGGUUCAGAUUAACUAUCAAUCUGACCAACCCACCUAAGUUCAAGUCCUACCUAUAACCUUAUAUUAAAGGGAAAACCUAAAAUAAAAAAAAUAAACAAAAGGAGCAAAUAAAACCUCUAAUAUUUAUGCAUGAAGUAUGAGUCAAUGGUCAAAUUUGAACAAUACAAUGGUAAGACUUCUAAACGAUAUGAAUUUAAAUGUAUAAUUAUAUUUGUAUCCUAAUUGUAAGGUUAGACCAUGUAACUUGUUUAAUAAACAACUUAUGUUCAAAUUUGAUUGUUCUAGUUGUUCAAUUUGUUUCACUUAUUCAUUUCAUUAUAUAAUGCUAACAUGAGUAUGACCCCAACUCCAUACGAGGUCAUGGUUCAUUCAACAAAUAACCAUUUCAAAACUAUAAAAUAAAAAAUCAUAUUUAAAAUAAUAAUAAAUAUGAUAUAAUUUAAAAAUCAAACAAUCAAAACUAAUUGCAUUAUUCAAAGUAAAAUUUUAUACAUUUAAAAUUUAAAGAAAGUUCUAAAUGGGUGACGAAUUGGAAGUUUAUUUUUUCCUUCUAUUUUAUAAGAACAAUAUAAUUAAAAAAUUAAUUAAUUAAUUAAGUCAUUAAAUUGAUUUACCGGACUCUCUCGUUGCCGGGGUUAUAAGGUCGAAGUCAAUGCUCCGCGUUGCAAUAACAAUUGGAAUUGUCGUGCAACUUUGGCAAUUUAAGGUGGGUGUGCAUUAAUAAAGAAGUGGUCUUCUUGGGAGGGAAAACAAAAUACAGGGAUGGACCACUGUCUCCUUAGUCCUUACUUCUAUUUCAAGGCCAACAUCCGACAUCGAUUCCAUGGAUUGAACUAUGAAGGCUUUUAAUACAAGCCCAACUACCAUAAUUAUUAAGGAUUAUCGUGUCCGGUUGGAAGUUGGAACCCUAUCCGUUACCAAUACGUCUUCUUCAUACCACACAACCAUUUUACACUCGUUCAUAUUUGUUAUUUUGAAUCUUUGAUGGUUAAGAAUAAGUAUGAGCUUGGGACUUGUUUGGUGUGAGCUUUAUUUUAAGUAGGAAUGGUAAAAAAACUCGUCAGAUCCAAAAGGGGAGCAAUAAUCAGGGACGGGAACCUAUUUUGAUUAUAUAAUAAUAAUAAUAGCAAUAAUAAUUAAAUAUACAUUUAUGAAAUUAAAAACAUUAAUUCCCAACCCAUUUACCUCCCUAAUUUAAGAAACAAUGAUCCCGUUUAAAUGAAAUAUAUAACGUUAUUUUUCAAUGCUUAAAAUAAAAUAAAAUUGCAUUUCAAUAUUUUUAUUUUAAAAAAUAAAAUCUCUUUUACGUCUAAUAAUAUUUAUAAUUAAAAUAUUAUAUAUAUAUAUAUAUAUAUAUUAAAUAAUGCAUGUAUUACUAUGUUUUUUAGUUCUAUUUUUUUUUACCAUGGAUUUAAUUUUAUAAUAAAAAAUUAUUCUAUAAAAUAAGAAUUAUAAAAAAUUAAAAUUCAUAAAAAAAUAUAAAUUUAUGAUUUAUAAUAUAAUAUAUUUCGUCAUUUAUCUUAUCACAUGUCUGAUUAAAAAAUAAAUAAUGAAAUAAUUUAUUGAUUACUACCCAAAUAAUUGAAUAAAAGAUAAAAUAUAUUAUCUCGUUUUCUAUUCUGUCUCAUAUUAUAUAUGGAAUCAACCAAACAUAAUUAAAAGAAAUAACUCUUAAAGGUUUUGAGUUUCUUAAUAUGUUUGGUAAUUUUUUUAUAUUAAAAUUCGGACUAAAAUUAAAAAAUAUAGGUCUGCUUGUGUUUUUUUUUUUCUUUUAAAUUUUAUAACUAUAAUUUUAUUUUUUAGUUUUUAAUUUUUAAAUUCAUUCAUUACAUCCAAAUUUUUUAUUUUAUUUUAGUAAAUUAAUUUGUUUAGUUAAGAGAUGUUUGAUACUAAUUACAACUUUGCUCAUUUAAUCCUCACACAAUGAAAUCUUUAAAUUUUUUUAAUCAUCUUUAAUGUGUACUAAUUUAGCUCUGUUUUAACUUUUUGUUUUCCUUAACCUUGUCAUUUUAAUUAUGUAUUUGAAUUAAUACAAUCACAAAGUUUUAUUUUAUGUAUUUAUAUUUUUUAUUAGAAAUAAAAAAAUUAAAUAUAACUUUACCUUUAAAACUUUUAAUAUGCUUUACACUUUGUCCCAUUUCAUUCAAAACCUAAUAUUUUACCUCCUAAACUUUUUAAAUACCAAUAUUUUGUCACAAACCUAUUAUAAAAUUACAAAAGAAAUUGAUAUGUUUUGCACUUUGAUUCAAACACUAAUAUGUAAUUAGAUAAAAUCAACUUUAAAUUAAUAGUCUUAAAGUGAAAUUUCUCAAAUACUUUCAAACUACAGUGACUAUCAGUCUUAAUUUUUUUUUUUUUUAUCUUAGAAGGAUAUUUACAUGACUAUUCGUGAUUUUCGCAUACAACCAUGAAGAAGUUUGAUGAACUUGAACUUGGAUAAUAAAUAUUUUUCUUUGUAUUUUAACUUGUUUACUUACCUAACAAAUUAUUUAUUGAUUUUUUAGUAAGUUUUGGAAGCAAAGUGUCAUAUUUUAACAAAUUUGAGGAACAAAGUAUUGAGUUUUAAAUGUUAUGAGACAAAGUGUAAAACACGAGACCGAUAAAAAGAGUAAAAUAUAUUUAAUCUUAUAAAAAAUUAUUCAAAAUUUUUAUUUAAUUUAUUUUUAAAUUAAAAAUUGACUCUAACGUUUUCGUUCUAGGCAAUUAUAAAAUGAAGUGAAAGGAAUCCAAUAGAAAAGUUGCCUCAAAUGCGAGCUGAAUCGUUUCCGAAUAUGAUCCACUUGAAUUCUUGUGGAGUAAUCAUUUUAGUAAAGACCUACACACUUAGAAAAAAGAAAAAAAAGGUGUCUUAAUAAUCGUAAUUUGACCACAAAGCUUAUAAUAUGCCCUUCCAUGAUUCAAAAUAAGGCCUUGAGUUGGUCAAUAAGCUUGAAACCAAACCAAUUAUACCCAAUGGAAGCCAAGUGCCACGUUAUCUCACACAACAUAUGCUUGGAAACGUCUUGGAAUGUGUCAUUUUUGCUUGUUGGAAAAGCUCGAUCCCUGGCUGCGACUUUUGAAUAAUGCUGGGGAACUUCCAUGGAAAACGUUGGGGAAGUGUUGAAACGUUUUCGAGAAGGCUAAGAAGUAUGCGUAGAAAUUUCUAUUUUCCCACAUGCACAAUUUGGUAAUUUUCCUUUUUGAUUUUCUUGCCCAUUUCGUUUUUAAAUGAUUUGACCUUUUUCCUUCCUUUAUAAUUCUUUUUUUUUUUUUGAGUAAAUUAUAAAAAAUUAUUUCUAUGCUUUCACGGGUGACAUAUGUAUGUACGACUAUGUUCACAAAAAAGAUUUGAUAUUAAUAUAAAUUAAGUCAUUAAAUUAUUAAAUUAAUUUGUCAAACAUGCCAUUAAUUCAACCUUUAAAUUGUUUUAAAUAAUAUUAAUUUUAAAUUAUGCUUAAAUAUUAAAUAAUCAUCAUUAUUAGUAUUUUCUCAUAAAUAAAUAAAAACAUUCAUAUGAUUUAAACAAUAUAUGGAAUUAUAUUAGUUUAAUAUUCAUAAAAAUAUUUAUUUUUCUCAAUGGAGAAUAAGAUACCAGGAUAAGAUUAAUUAAUGAAACAAGAAGGGUAAGUCUGAAGAUUAACGGAUAAAAAGAGAAGGGAUCACUAAAGAGGAGUUCUUUCAAAAAAUGGAUUUAUCUGAUCGACGGUUGAGAUGCUUUGAAAGAAUAGAAAUAAUCUAACCCAACUAAAUAAUCAAACGUUAUAAUAAUAUGAAUGGUCUUGAGCGUUUAGCACAUUCCUUUCCUUUUGGGAGAAGAAGAGAAUGAGCCCCACGUGUUCCUUGCCCUUUUCUCCAAGAGAUUCCAAUCCUACAUUCUGCACUUUGUGCAGCCUAAGGUGGCUGAAGAAACGACCCAAAGACCUCCAACGCUAAAAUCGCCCAGUAAUGCUAAAAGGUAAAGCACAAAUCACUCAUGGACUUUCCUUUCAAUACACAGAGGUUGAAAUAUGAGUUUACCUGGUCAAUCUUGGCCACUCUCCACCGCCGAUAUUGGUGUCCAUGGAUGGAAGCUAACCUACUUCCACUACCCCUCUCUAGUUACACGGUACACCCUAAGCAUUCUUUUAAAGUCUUUGGUCACCCACCACCAAAACUCCACUCACACACUGUUCCAUCUUUUUGGUCAUCUACAUAUUUUGUGGAUUAAAUUAAACCCCUAAAAACAUAUAUACCACACAUUAAUAUGAUAAUCAGUAGAUAUUCAUUUGGAAAUGAUGUGAUGGAGAUGGGUCCAUGGGAGGUGUGAGUCACCCAAAAUUUCAAGCUUAUGAACUCAGUCCACCAUUGACCUCCAUCAUUUAAUAAAAGGGGAAGACCUGGCAAGUGGGCUGCAGGCUUUUUGUCAAGGUAAAAGUAAAACUCAAGACGCAGGGCAUGACAAGUGGAAGCCAUGAUCUAAUGCUUUCCUCCCCAGGGUCUGUGUUUUGUACGUGGACCAGUCAUAUCCCGCGCAGUUGGAAGAUGACCUUCCACCAAGACACUCUUUUGAUUCAUAAGGAAAAUGUAGGAGCGAGUCAAGGAGAGAGGGUAACCGGCUACCACCGGUCACCUCCAUUAUGCCCUCACCUAUAUAUUCUCCACCGUCUUCCUCCUUCCCUCCCGAUAAAACCAUUCACAGCUCUCAGCCAUGGCCCGCCAUAGCCCAGAACACGACAUCGGCUCCAACACCGGCUUUGGAACCUCCAAGAAGGUCGCAAGUGGCUUGCUCCACUCCGUAUCGACGCUUGUGGCUUCGUGCUCCAAGCAAGCCAGCCGAGUUUCCAGCAAGUUUCGUACAAAGGUGAGCCACUCGAAAAUCUCUCCGAAGUCGCCGUUGGCGCGGCCCAAGCAGCUGCUGACGAGUAUAAGCAACAAGGCGAUUCCUUUUCUGCAUAAGAAGAAAGGGGGCGAACAGUUAGACAGCAAAGAAGUUGCAGAGGAAGGGUUCGGAGACGGCGGCGUGUGGCAGAGGGCGAUCCUGAUGGGGGAUAAAUGCCAGCCGUUGGAUUUCUCUGGCGUAAUAUAUUACGAUAAUAAGGGGGAGCAGCUCCAGGAGCUGCCGCUCAGGUCGCCGCGUGCGAGUCCGCUGCCGAGUUACGCUUUUCGGAAGUGAAAGCAGCCGCGGGUGAGUUGGGUAGUAGUUCAACGUUCAAAUUUAAAAGGGGUAGUGGGAUUGGAGAAACAAAAUCGUAGGGCAUGUGAAUUUAUUUUCUCUUUACCUGCUUGGUUUCACAUGUAUGAUGUUGCAGCCUAGCUGGGAUGUUGGAAAGCGGUUUUUGUAGUUGUGAAAUGGAUUGGGCAUCAUGUAAGUAGGUUUUUAGCUUUGUUUAUUUCUUUUGGUUCCAAUUUACAAAGGGUUUGUAUUUCCGAUUUCUUUUUAUUUUCAUAAAAUAAAAUAAAAGGUAUUUACGCAUUUCAUCGAGUUUUUAGGUUUCUCAACCAUGUGUUAUUUAUCGGGAAUAAAAGGUAUUUAUGUAUCUCAUCGAGUUUUGGGGUUUCUUAACCAUGUGUUAUUUACUGGAUCAAAUUUGUUCGAUGUUUUUCUUGGCCAAGAAACCAACCUUGGUCCCAAGCCCUUCUAACAUUCACUGUCUUUUCAGGUUUGAUCUCAUCGGGGACCUUCCUUAACCUAGGAAACUUUGAGCCUUUGUUUUGUCUCACCCGGAACCCUUUGGACACUCACCGCCUCUUUAAGCUACACCCAACAGGGACCUUCCUUGGCCCAAGAACCCUUUAGGCUCUCUCUCUUCACCUCUAUAGGCUUCCGUCCGACAGGGGCACUCCUUGUACAGGACCCUUUAGACCCACAUGGUCUCUUUUUUAAGGACUAAAAACAUUUUUACAUUUUCUGAUGCUUGUAAGUAUUUUUUUAAUAAUAAUAAUAAUAAUAAGGGUUAUGCUAGGUACCGAAAAGUGCGUUAAAUCUAAUGGCUGAAAAAAAAUGGAGGCACGAUACCGAAUGAGGUAUCGUAGAAUUUUUCUAAUAAUAAUAAUAAUAAAGUGUUUAAUAAUUUUUAUUAACCACUUUUAAAAAAUUUGAAGAACUACUUGAAAAUGAUUCUUCUAAAUAUAAAAAAUAUGAAAAUCCAAAUGGCUACAAUGAAAAGCACUACAAACAAAAAGCAACAAUAGCGCUAAAAAACCAAACCAAAAGCACUUUAAUCAGAACUUGAAAGCUAGGAAAAUAAAAAAAAUAAAAAUUAGUGGACGAGGUCAGGGUGGAUCUUGGUCUGAUAAUCAUCUAAGACCCUUUCCGACAUUCAAAGGCGGUUAUAAAUAUAAUAUCAAUUCUCUUACAUUUCUAUGAUUCUUUCUUUUCAGUAUAAUAAAAAGAUAACCCUCAACGUACUUAAUUAGACUUGUCUUUUUGAUUUUUUGAUACAAGUUUACCUGGUCAAACUCAAUGCACAAAAUUUCAAUCAGCUAACCAUGAGAAUGAGACAUCCUAAGGAGAUCGUAAAGAAUAUAUCAUAAUGAUUUAGUGAUGAAAUUUCAAACUAACGACACGGGUGACGAAUUUGAAUGACAUUAGAAGAAGGAAAAGAAGGAAACCUCACUUGAAACAAGAGAUCUUGAUCAAUCAUCCUUCAUGCUUUCAAAAAUACACCAGUGAACCGAUCGAAUCAACACUCAGCCAACUUUCGUGCAAAAGUUCAAAAAAAUAGGGGAAAAAAGAAAGGGAAAUAGAAACGGCACUACAAGCAACAAAAUACUACUAAAAAUAGAAAAGAGAAAACCCGGUUCGGCGUAUUAGAUCCGGUUCAAAACCUUUCGGUUCAAGAUCCCUCAGGCUCCAGGAGCCGCGUCCUUCACCUUACUCUGCAAAUACCCACCAUACUCCCUAGCGUAGUCCUUUACGUGGCUGGCCGUGUCCGCGAUCCGGCUCCUGGCGUAGUCAAACCUGCCAGAACCGGGCGGGUUCCAACCCCUGAAGUACUUGUAUAUCCAAGACAGACCGGCCAGAACCGCCAGACCGAACCCGCACAUGGAUAAGAACCCAGCCGCAGCUAAGAAGAGAACUGUCCCGGCCGGAACCCAUAUGGGGCUGGAAAGGAGGAUCAAGGGGGUGAAGAAGAUGAGGCCAAUGACAGUGGCGGUGAUGGUGAGGCCGGUGAGGAAGAGCAAGAUGCAGCCGGAGACGAUGAGGGCCAAGAAGCCGAUGAAUUGAGUGGAGUUGGGGGCGUGGUCGUGGAGUCUACGUAGGAAUGCUGAACCGGGUGUGGGUCGAGGUGGACGUUGGGUUUGGCCUGAACCGGAGUGGCGGUCAGCCAUCGUUGAGCGACAGAGGGAGAGAUUGAAGAUAGAAAAGACGGAAGAUGGGUUAUAGAAGAAGCAGAAGGGUGGUGGUGUGGGGAUAGGCUGACACGUGUGGGAGGUGGAGACAUGCAAGGGCACACGUGGGAGAGGAUUGAGCACUCCGAGAUUUGUUGUGGCCCUUGUCCUUGUGGGGACUGGUGACUUUUUCUUUCUAUACGUUUGGUUUCUGAUCCCAUGCUUUGCACCUCUCUUUCUCCCCAUGCUCUCUCUCUUUCUACUCGUCCGAUUACUCAUCAAAUGUGAUUGAAGUAUAAAAGAUUAUGAAUACGCAAGGGACACAUUGCCCCUUGUGAAAAAUUAAAUUAAUCAAUAAAGUUGAUCCAUUCACCUCGUGUUACAAAGAAAAAAUAAGCUUUGGAUUGACCAAAUAUCAGUCUUCCCUUGAAAUAUUUUCUUUAUACAUGAGCAGGUGCAAAACAAAUGAAUCAAAUUAUACUUUAAACAAGAUGUGAUAAUUCAAUAUUGUAUCAAAACCCUAUUUAGAAAAAUGAAAAUUUCAAAUUAUAUUAAAAUUUGGAACUCUGAAUUAGUAAAGCCCAGCAUUGAGAAGUAAUUUAUAAAUAGGUAACAUCAAGAGAAAGAGGAAGAACGCAGAGGGGUCCAAACCCUGCUGUCACUAUGAAGAACAUUGGGCAGCAUAUUUGAAUGAUGCAACUCCUCUUUGUCCCCACUUUCAACCUUACCAUUGCCCAUGUCUGUCCCACUCAAAUCCCUGCAAUGACUGGCCUUUUUCAGACUCACUUCAUGUUUCUCGUCUCCCCCCAUAAGGGACCCAGCUCUGCUUGAUUGCAUGGCUGAAUUUUUCUUGUCAUCCAGGUCUCCAGUUGGUCUCAGCCAUGCUACUGUGUCGAUUGGAUUCCUUUCGAGAUCAAAGACGCUUUGAACUUCCUGAGAUUGGAUGCUAAACUGCACUCUUUUGAUCUUCCUAGAUGGGGUGAUGCCUACUAGUCCGGUGCUGUCAUUUUCCUUCCUUUGCAGUGGAACAUCUGACAUAGAUAACCUGCGAAUUAGGCCGCCUGCCUUGAAUGGAGAAUUUUCUCUAGAAGACCUCUCCGAUGAUGAAACAACUAAUCUUGGAUUAUCCUUUCGUCUUCCCCAUCUUCUUAUAUUAUGAAUCAAACCAUAUUUCUUGCUUAUGCUCCUCUCGCUGCUAGAAGAGCUGUCUAUUGUAGUUUUGUCAAUCGAGGAUGAGGAAGAAGAUUUGCUGUAAGAAUUAUGGUGUGGGAUUGGAGUAGGAGUCUUGUUGCCAUGAGAUUCUUGGCUUGAAUUCUUGCUGAGAAUCGGUGGGGUUAGGAAAUUUUGGCUUUCGAACCUCAAGCAAGCGUUGAGCGAGCGUUGGUACAUUAGCUCUUCGAUUAUGCCGAACCUGUUUUUCCGCAAUUUUUCUAUCUGUUUGGAUAAACUUUCGUUUGCAUGCCUAAACUUAUUCAUCUCCUCCUCCAGCUUAUCCUUCAUUUUAAUCCGAAAACAGCAACAGGGAAAAUCAGGCUAUACGAUACCAGCCAAUAUAUUCAUAACUGAAUCCGAAUAAAGACUAAAGAAAAUUUCAUAUAUACCUCUGUCAUAUUGGAUUGCGCAUUUGCUUUGUCUUCUGCAGCAACCAACAUAAUUUUCAGUCCUCCCGUUUCCAUUUCAAGCUCUUUGUUCCUCCUCUUCAUCUCCAUAGCUUUGAAUUCCACACUUCCGGUCUUCUUUUCAACAUUCUCAUGAUCUGUACUGGAUAUUCCUGUCUUCUCAAAACCGGAAACUUCUCGUGCUAGCGUUAGCAAUUUCUUCCUCGCCCAGUUCCUAUCUGUAGUCAUCUUCUUGUGCAGUUCUUUUAUUCUCUUCUUUGCAAUCUCUAGCUGCUUCUGUACCAACACACCCUCUUUGACUUCCUCUUGAAGUUUCUUCGUCUCUGCCCGCAACGAGUUCACGGUGAUGCUCAGAAAGUCGACCUCCUCCGUCUUGACCUUCAAGUGCUUCUGCAACUGAGCAAUAUAUGAACGCUGCUCUUUAAUACCAUACAUUUCUAGCAGUUUCCCUUCAAGGGUCCUUCUUUUUCUCUCCAUUUCCUUUACUGCGUUCUGUAGUAUCUCUAUUUCACCUGUAACAUCUUGUGGAUUUCCACUCUCUCUUCUUUUGGGUAAAUUCAAAUUUUGUUCCAUUUUUCUUCUGGUAGUACUCCCUUUAAUCUCUUCCUCUUCCUCAGCCUGGAAAUGCAAAUUUAUAUGAGCCACUUCUAUGUAUAUGAUCAGAGAGAAGGAAACUAAUAUAUAACAAAAAGAGAGAGCUGCUUGAUGGUACUGAAAAUUCAGAAUCCGCAGACUUCUCUUCCCCGUCUUCUUCAAUCUCUUCUUGUUGGAAGCUUGAGUCAUCAAUCUCUAAGUUCAUGAAACACCAUCAAAAUACGUUUAGAAAGAAACAAAAGAUUGAUUCUGCAGACAUUUUCCAAAGUACCUGCAGGUUUGAUUGGAGGGUUUCGCUUCCUGGAAGAUUGAAUAUUGAUUCUGGAAACUGCAAAAGCUGCAACUGAAGCUGCAGCCACAAAGCUAACCUUUACAAACAUAUACGUACAACUACGUAGUUGCAAGGAUUAAGUGAGUGAAAUUGUGGGGUGGGUCAAAAUAUUCUUAUCUGGUUCAUGAAUUUUAGGGAAGCAACUCGCAAUUGACGAUAAGUCUGAUCAUCAACCAGUGGUUGAUUUUUGUCUGCUCAGAGGUGUAUUUAUUGCCUUUGGAAGAACACUAAAAAGUCUCUUAAGAAAAACAAAAAGCUGUGUGUGGGCAUGGCUUCUCUAGCUUUCAACGCAUAAUCAUAUAUACAGGAUUUGCAAAUUCUUUUUGGUAAAUCAUUAGGAAAAUUUUUAAAUAUAAUAUAGUGUGUUCAAUUAUAAAAUAUUAUUACAUAGAUAAUUUUAAAUAAUUUUAUUAAAAUUUAUACUAAUUUUUUUUUAAAUUUUGCACAUGACAUGGUACUCAAAUCCAAACUAGGAUAUAUAUUUUUUUAAUAUGGAUGUAUUUUUAGCUCUUGGUUUUAAGUUGAGUUUUGUUUUUGAAAAAUUAUAUAUAUAAAUAGAAUGAAAAAAUAAGAGGAAAAGAAAAAUAUAGGACUUGUUUUGUUUUUUGGUAGUUAUUUUCAAAAACAAUUUUGAAAAAUAGGUUUUGAGAAUGAUUUUUGAAAAUUAUUCUUUAAUUUUCAUAAAAGUGUUUUAAUUUUAAUCAUUCUAUAUAUUUGUAUAAUUAUUUUUUAAAAUAGUUAUAAAAAAUAAGUGAAAAUAAAAACAAAACACACAAAAUAAUUGUUUUUUAUUGUCAAACGUGUUUUUUGUAUUUUUUAUUUUAGAAAACAAAAAUUACUCUAAAAAACAGUUUCCAAACAUACUUUAAUUUUUUUUAAUUAUUUUGUUUAUCAUGUGAAAAUUGAGAAAAGAGAAAUGGAAUAUAUUUCUCAAACAUUUUCUACACGAAAUGAGUGAAAUGUUUUUAUUUUUUUAUUUUUUACUUUUUACGUGUUUGAAAUAUCCAAACAUAUAAAAUAUCCAAACAUAUAAAAAUAAUAUUUUUUUUUUAAAUCACUUUUAUUUUUAAAUAAUUUUUGAAAAUAAAACCUAUUCCUAAUCUUUGUUUUGGCAGUGAAUAUAAAAAACAAAAUGUCACAAAUAUGGGACCCAUGAUUUGGCACAAUGAAACAAACCCCCCUUUCAUUUACAUGCCCUAAAUAUCUUACUUUUGUCUCCCAUUUUCUUCCCCCGUAGCUUUCUUCUUUUGUCUUGCACACUCUACACAAAAUAAAGAAGCAAGAGAUUGUUAGCAUAGUGGGAUUGUGUUUUAAAACAUAAUUGAAAAAGAAUAAAAAAGAAUUAUUGUUAUAAAAAUCAAAUUUUAUUAUCAAGAUUUUAAUUUAUUUCUUUUGCAUGAUAUACCAACACACAUCCAUUUUCAUCUUAUUUCCAUUCUUAUCUCUCUAUCAUUCAAUAUAUUUAAGUUUUUGACAUCAUUUUACGGUUAUUUUUCUAAGUUAAUUUUAAGAUUUUGAAUACCAAAUGUUUUUCCCGUGAUUCUUAUUUGUUAUUUUCACUCAUAUUUAUUUUUAUUUUAUAUGAAAAUUUGUUGAUAAAAAUGUAUUUCUAGCUUUAUGUGGAUAAUAGAUGAAUUUAAAAUAAUAAAGAAAGAUACUUAAAUAAUUUUUAAUUCUAUUAAAUAGAUAUCUAUAUAAAAUUUUAAAAUAUUUUUCUCAAAAGUUUCACCCCAAAAAUAGACUCCAAAACACAAAAUCCUUUGUCACGUUUCUUCUAUUUUCUUUCCUAUAAAUACAAUAUUGCAUUUUUAUUCAAUAGUAAGCAUAUUUGAAAAUGAUUUUGAUAAAACAAAAUUUUGGAAAUAUUCUUAAAAAUCUAAAAAUUCAUUUUUAAUAUUGAAAAAUCACUUGUACUAUUUUUUGAGAAAUACUUAAAGUGCGUUGAUAGUAAUUUUGAGAAGUGUUUUUAAUCUUUUUAAUAUUUAAAAAAUAUUAAAUUUAAGGUGUUAAAAAAACUAAAAACACUUUUCAAAAUCAUUAUCAAACACAAACUUAUAUAGAUGAUUCUCUUAAAAACACUUGUAGACAAAAUACUUUUAUUAAAAAUAUUUUGAAUAAAAAUAUUGUAAAGCACACUAUUCUUAUCAUAUGUUGCAAAUUGCACUUAGACUUACAUAUAUGAAUUUCUUCUUGAAUUUCAAAUAUUUAAAGUAGUAAACAUUAUUUGCUUCAUUAAUCACCAAUGUUGAAAUGACGGCAUUUGAUUAGUCAUACACAUGAUUUUCUUUCCAAAUUUCAAGCAUUUAUUAAGUAUUUAAAGACCUAGUAAAUUUGCCUCACUAAUCAACAUCAAUGAAAAAAUAUUAUAUUUAAUUAGACAAACAUAUAAUUUUCUUCUUAAAUUAGAUAGUUUUGCUACGAUUUAAUACUUAUUACUUAAUGAUUUAAGUUAACUUUAAGUUAAAAUAUGUUUAGUUGUUGACUUAAAACUUAUUAAUUUAUUAUUACUUUAAGUAUUACGAUGGUUUGAAAAAAUUAAUUUAAAAUUGAUUAUAAAUUAUUAGAUUAAUAUAUUUAUCUUCAUAAAUUAUAAUUAGAGCAAAGGGAUCGAAUAACAAUGAAGGUUGUAGAGCAACAAAAAAGAUCAUGAUAGUAACUAAGACAAAUUGAGAUAAAAAGAUAAAAUGAAGAUGUUGACUUAAAAAUAAGUUAAUUAUUUUUAUUUAUUAUUUAAAAUUAUUUUUAACCUUACGUUAUUUUACCAAAUAUACUUAAUUUAUUUAAUGAUUUAAAUUAAGUUAUUAAAUUACUUUUAAUUAUUAAGUUGAUUUACAAAACACUUAUCUAAAAAAAAUAAUUUUAUAUUUAAUAGUUAAUAUUUAUCUUUAAAAAAUAAAAUCAAAUAUUUUAAUAAGUGAAAAAUUAUAAGAAAAAGUCUUCUACAAUAUCACAAUAAUCCAUUAAUCCGCAAAGUCAAAGGCAAAAUGGGGAUAUUUCAUAUAGAUAAUUAUAAAAUCUCCAUAUCUAGCACACCAAAUUUGAUAUUUAUGUCACAAUAUUUUAUUUUAUUUUUCAUAAAUUAUAAUUCCUUUAUUAAAUUUUCUAAACGUUUUUUCAAAUGUUAAAUUAGGGAGUCACUAGACUCCCAUGCCGGUGAGACAAUCAGCCGCCAAGCAGAAGAUUUUGCCCAUUUCUCCGGCAUCGCUAUUUUCUUUCCCUGCACCUCUCAAUCAAUAUGAAACCCUAAUUUUUUUUUCUUUUUUCGAUGGAUUGGAUUUCAAUCCACUUUCUUCAUCAUCAUCACGACCACUGAAAACCUAGCUUUUCGUUCUACGCUCUAUGGAGGCGCGUCGAACCUCUCGAAUCCCCAUCGAUCCUAAAGUGCGCCAGGUAGGGUUUUUUGCCCCCGGUGCACUGCGGGAUCGCUCACAGUCUGGUCCCCUUGGGUUCUCGUC